Molecule: long non-coding RNA, 88476 nt
Filed under: Triticum aestivum (bread wheat)
Lineage: Eukaryota; Viridiplantae; Streptophyta; Magnoliopsida; Poales; Poaceae
Description: long non-coding RNA (TAES_LNC009497)
Source: RNAcentral
GUGUUUUCUAUUUUUUUUUCCUUUCGCGAGAGUCACGGUUUUGUUUCCGCGAGAGGCACGGGUGUGCUUUCACGAGAAUCACGACCGUGCCUCUCGUCACGGUUUUGCUUCCGCGAGAGGCACGGUUGUGCUUUCACGAGAGUCACGCCCAUGCCUCUCAAGAACAGAAAGAACGCGUUUUCUGUUUUUUUCCUUUCGCGAGAGUCACGGUUUUGCUUCCGCGAAAGGCACGGGUGUGCUUUCGCGAGAGUCACGACUGUGUCUCCUCGGAAACGAAAAAAAAGUGUUUUCUCUUCUUUUUUCCUUCCGCGAGAGCCACGGUUUUUGCUUCCACGAGAGGCACGGUUGUGAUUUCGUGAGCGGCACGGGCGUGCCUCUUUCGGAAAGGGGAAAAACCCAUGCUCCCGGUUCGAUUUUUUUGUCCGGUUUUUUGGCCGGUUUAUUUUGAUUUUUUACGCGAGAAAUCCAACAGUGAAAACGGUUUGAGAUUUGGACGCACGUUUUGAGAGAUAAAACAUUUUAAAUAAAUGGAUCUAUGAAAAAAAAAGGGAGAACUCCCAGGUUGCGAUAAUUGACGCGCUGCAUGUGAGCCACUUGUCGCAACCUGAAGAGUUAGAGUGAUCUUUGCAACGACUACUACUCAACUAGUGAUUUCGACGAAUACUCCUAUACGCCACACUUUGCGGCAAAAGGACGCUGCUUCGCACAGGAUACGCAGCGACUGGGCUAGCCCAUGGCAGGGUCCAUGUAUCAAGCGUGAUGAGAAGCCCAUGCUGGUACUGUAGCAAAACAAGAAAAAACGAAAAAGCAACACAUUCUAGAGGGAAUCGAACUCUCGACCUCCCGAAAAGAUGUGCUGCGGAUAGCCAUCUGAACUGAUAAUUCUAAAUGACUAAUGAGUAGCGCUGAUGUCUAAGAACAAGCCAUUAUGCCCGAACUCAACACCAUUGAUUUUAUUCGAACAUAUAUUGGAAAUUAUAAAGAUUUUUUUAAAACAUAAGCAAUGUUUCAAAGUUCGCACAUUUUUUGAACAUCGCAAACAAAUUUUGGAAAAUGUGAUCAUUUCUUGAAAAUUUGGAAACCUCUUGAACAAUUUUAAAACCUGAACUUUUUUGAAAUUCUUGAACGAUUUUUAACCCAUGAACAAAAUUUGGAAAACAGGAACACUUUUUAGGAUUCAAAAAAUUUCAAACGACGAACAUUUUUGGAAAACUACUGAACAUAUUAUGAAGUUGUGAACAAAUUCAGAAAAAACAGUGAACAUCACAAAGAUUUUUUGAACUUCCCGAACAAAUUUUGAAAUUCAAUAUUGCUUAGAAAAGGAACAUUUUUAAAAUUUUUGAAAAUUUUCAAAUCGGAACAUAUUUUCCAAUUGUGAACACUUUUUUGAACAUGCGAACAUUUAUUUAACAAUGUGAACAAAUUAACAAAUUUCAUUUUUUAUAAAAGUGAACAAAUUUUGAAAAAAGUGAUCAUUUCUUGCAAAUUCGGAAACCCUUGAACAAUUUAGACCUCUGAACAUUUUUUGAAAUUCUCGAACGAUUUUUAAGCCGUGAACAAAAUUUGAAAAACAGGAACUUUUUUUGGGAUUCAAAUUUUUUUCUAACCCGGAAUAUUUUUGGAAAACUCCUGAACAUAUUUUGAAUUUGUGAAUGAAUUUCAGAAAACGGGAACAUAUUUUUUCUAAAUUUGUGAACAAAAUUGAAAAAAAAAGAGAAAAUUGUAGAAAUUCCGAAUUCAAACUUUUUCUGAUGUAGAAAAAUGAAAAUGAAAAAAGAAUAUAAUUGAAAAAGAAACGGAAAAAGGAAAAUAAAAACUUGAGGAAGAAUGAAGAAAGGAAAGAAGCAAAAAAAAGAAAAAUCUGAAAAGUCGAAAAGCCAAUAAAACUGGAAGGUUCCCAAGACCAGGAUCCUGUAGCACGGUAAUCCACCAGCAGUGGGCCGGCCCAUGUCGCUCGCUCGCACCUGUUCCUUGUGCGUUCCCUCGACAGUUUGCCGCAAUUAGCGUCAAAUAGGAUAUUCAUGAACCAGGAACAUACAAAGUCGAGCGGUGUCAAGAGAUAGCAAUAAAGGAUCUUUCAGUGCAGUAGCUCAAAAUUCUCAAGGGGCUUACAUGGGCCCGUCAGCUGUGAUGAACGAAGGCCUCUCAUAUCCUGAAAUUCUUGAGACUAUGGCCUGCCACCAAAGUUUAACUUUAGCGGCUGAUCUUAAUAAAUCAAUGCUGAAGGCUUCUCAGGUGAAGGUAACAACUUAUUGCAAAGGUUUGCUCAAUGAUCAUUCAAGAGAUCAAAUAUCGAGCACUUGCUUUUAACUAUUGCUCUUUUGCUCAUGAAGGGCGCUGAUCUAAUGUAGAGACGCAUAUUUUCGCUAAACACACUCUUUCUCUUUCACAAGGGAGUCAUGUUUGGUUUUUUAAACCCAUAUGACCCUAAUGUGAUUCCUCUUAAACGUUCCUUUCGAUAAUAAAGCAAGUAUGUUUAUCCCUCAAAAGGAAAACUCUUGGAGAAUCUAGAUUUGUGUUGCUGGUUCAUAUUACAUUGUUCUUUUCUUGAUUACUAGUGUAAGGGCAUGUCUAAUGAUGCUAUUUUAGGAGUGACAUGUAGGAUAAAUGUUGAGGUGAAGGAGAAAGAAAUCAUAAGAAAAUGCUUGUCUUCUAUUAUUUAAGAGAUGAUCUCUUAGCUCAAUAUGUCUCACAAUGUUUUAGGAAUAGCUAGUUAUUAAAGAUAAAGCUAAGAUAUAAUCUAUUAUAGACAUACUUUUUUGUCAUCCUAAAUUACAUGCAAGACUUAAAGAAAAGAUUGUCUUAUCAAUCAUUAUACAUGCCCUAAAACCAAACGGAAUGAAUUAAAUUCGGUAAAUACAAAUGAAAACAGAUUUUUCUGUAGCACCGUGAAAAACUGAAAAUUUGUUUUUUUGGGGGUUUUGGUCUUCGGUUUAUCGAUUUUUAUGCCCACCCCUACUCCCAAAAAUCGGCCCAAAUUCAAAAAAUCAAGCAACUUACCAUUAGCUAAACUGCAGUUAUUUCUACUCCCACUAUUUAGAUUUUUUUUAAAAAUUAUAAUUUUCCAGAUUCACUAUUUAUAAUUUUUUAUUUUCUUUUAAAUUUUUCAGAUUCUGUUUGAUGAUUUUACUGAUAUAGAUAUUAAAACCAUUAAGCUAUGCGUGAAGGAUGGCUUGGCCUCGGUGAGAGAUCUUUUGCAAUUUUUUUAGAUGAAGGUGUGGAUUAUUUUUUAAAUGUAUUUUUUUAGAUGGAGAUGAGAACCUAUGGUAUUUUUUUAAAUGAAGGGUUAUGCAAAGUGGCACUCGCUGGUAGGCUGUUGUGAUAUUUUUUAUUUUUAUUUUUUAUUUUUUUAGAUGAAGGUGAGGAUUUUUUGGGUGAAGCUGAGGACUCAAGAACUUUAUGUAUUUUUUUUCAAUGAAAACGUGUGCAUAGCUUCCUCCCAAGCGGCGUCAAAGGGUGGCGCCUCAAUCACUAGUCGGACGUUGAGGUGUACACGGAAGGCUGGUCAGUAGAGCGCCACGACUACUUCACUCACUCCCACACACACAGACUCUGAAUUUGUAAAUGGAUCCAUAUGCAUACACUGCACGAGAGCUUGCUUGCUCCAACAAUCCAUGGCCUCCGACUCCGACCAUGAGCGCCUCCGCGCGCUCAAGGCCUUCGACGACACCAAGGCCGGCGUCAAGGGCCUCGUCGACGCGGGCGUCACAGCCAUCCCCGCCAUCUUCCACCACCCGCCGGACUCCCUAGCCGACGCGCCCCAUCACCAUGGUCACCACCAGUUCGCCAUCCCGGUCAUCGACCUCGCCGGCCUCGCGACGCCGUCGGGGCGAGCCUCGGUGGUCGGCGCGGUAAGGGCGGCCGCGGAGACGGUGGGCUUCUUCCAGGUGACGAACCACGGCGUGCCGGAGUCGGCCAUGUCGGAGACCCUCGCGGCGGUGCGGCGCUUCAACGAGGAGCCGGCGGAGGCCAAGGCGCCCUACUACAGCCGGGACCCCGCGGUACCAGUGCAACUUCGACCUGUUCCGGUCGCCGGCGGCCGGCUGGCGCGACACGCUCUACAUGGAGAUGGCCCCGGAGCCACCGCCGCGGGAGGAGAUCCCGCCGGCGUGCCGGGCCAUCGUGCCGGAGUACACGCGGCUGGGGCGCAAGCUCUUCGGGCUGCUGUCGGAGGCUCUGGGCCUCCGGCGUGGGUACCUGGAGGACACCGCCGGGUGCCUGGACGGGCUGAGCGUGGGCUGCCACUACUACCCGGCGUGCCCGGAGCCGCGCCGGACGCUGGGCACCGCGAGGCACUCCGACCCCAGCUUCCUCACCGUGCUCCUCCAGGACGCCUCGGCGGCCUCCAGGUGCUGCUCGACGACGACGAGUGGCGGCCGGCGUGGGUGGACGUGCCGGCGGAGGCGGGGGCGCUGGUGGUGAACGUCGGCGACUACCUGCAGAUCCUGUCCAACGACCGGUUCAGGAGCGUGGAGCACCGCGUGGUGGCCAACGGCGCCGGUCCCCGGGUCUCCGUGGCUUGCUUCUUCCGCGCCGACGCGUCGACGAGGGUGCUCGCGCCGAUAGUCACCGCCGGCGACACUGCGCGGUACAGGAGCACGACGGUGCCGGACUACGGCGCCAAGGGCCUGGACGGCGUCUCUGCGCUCCAGCGCGUCAGGAUCUGAAUGGAUCUCAUCUCACGGAAUCUGAAUGUAUCCAAGUCAAUUCUUGUGUGUGCUGAUGAUUCAAAUUCAUCCUAGCAAUGCAGGAUGCAAUCUCUGUAGUAGUACAUGUUUUCUUGAGGAUGGAACUGUGGAUUCAGUUGGAAUUGCAGAGCAGAUAUAAAUUCCCCUGAGAUGAGAUGAUUAUCAACAGAAACAGAAUUACAGACAGUAACAUGAACUGAAAAUGAAUAAACAGAACAGAACAGAACAUACAUCCCCUACAAUGGAAACAUGAACUGCAAAUGGAACCAACAUAAACAAAUGGCAAGUUAUUCACAGCGACUAGCACGACGGCGACGACGACGAUGACACAUGAACUAGUGGAGCUGACUUGAGAUGGCUGAUGACUUUCUUCAGCAUCUGCCAUGGCGGCAUUCAUCAGUGAGCGCCGCAGCUAUGUACAGACAGACAGAGAUACAUCAUGAUCAUCCUCCAUUACUGAGUUACUGACUGAGCUAACCAUCCAUGCAUCCAUCCAUCCACCAGUUAAGGGUCUGCGUGGCCCAUGAUGGCCUCGUCGCCGGAGUCGUAGCCCUCGGCGUCGCUCAGCUCCUCGUCGCUCUCCUCUUCCUCCUCCUCCUCCUCCGGGGAUAUGUCUUCAGGCUUGGCAUAUCUCUCACAAUAUUCUGAACAGAGAUUUUUUAGCUUAUGUUAAGGAAAUACUACUGUAUAAUGCACUCUAUGACAGAGAUAUGGAAUACACAAGUCCUGGUACAAAUCGGACCUUUGACUUUAUUUUCAUAGGCAUUCUUGUCGCGCAUCAUCAGCGAUGCCGCCUCGCCGUUCAAGGGGUCCGAGGGGUUCGGGUACAGGAGAAGCUGGGGCAGGAACACCUCAAAGAUAUUCACAAGGUCUGCAGCAGCAGCAGCAGCAGGAGGACAACAGCAAAAAUGUGGUGCUUCAGUUGGUAAAAUUCAUCAAAGUUAAACUAGUUUUGAUAUAUCGAUCGGAUUUACCGAACAUUGGGCUCCAGGUCUGGUUGAUCACAUCCAAGCAGACAGAACCGGACCUGAACAAAUCGACGGACAAACAAACGAUGAAACCUGAGAGUAUGUGUGUGCAGAGCAGAGAAUGGUUGGUUUGUGAAAUGAAGAAGAAAGAAAGGCUUACAUCUCAUCGACAUUGGGGUGAUAGAUCUUGUUGGUGAAGCCAAUGGAAGGGGAUUUGUAGGGGUAAGCUUCUGUGAGUUCAACCCUCACCUUCCACACACCACCCUGGUAAAUACCUGCAGCAAGGAAACACCAAAUAAAUUAUAAGUCCUAGAGAGCAGAUUGAAGGAUCAAAUUUGUUCAAAAUUACUGUGUAAUCUGUAUGUACAGAGUUUAAUUGCUACUACUUAUAUAAGCCCACCUCCCAAAAUAAGUGUUGCUCGCUGAUUUUGCGACACUUAUUUUGGGACGGAGGGACUAGUACUCAUGCAGUGGGGAAGAGAAAACUUUUUUCUUUUUUUUUUGCGGGGUUGGGGAAGAGAAAACUUGACAGCUGAACAGACAAGCACCAGUAGUUGUAGUACUAAACUUGCAAGAAUAAAUGGGUGAAAGCAUGAGUGACAUCAUUUAUUUUUGGGGGUAUUGGUCAAAUCUGUCUAUUUGUCUCCGGCAACUUGUUGGUUGGGCAGAGCAGAGCACAGAGAGAGAGAGAGAGAGGCCAUUGUGAUGUGGAUGAAGCACCUACCUACCGUACCCAUAUCAUAUAAUAAUGCAGGGUUAAUAAUAAUAAGUCCUCCCAUGCUCAUCUAGUCAGAUGUCAUAUGGAUAUGGAUGGGGUACAAUACAAUCGUUGGUUAUGUUGACAGAAACAAGCAAGUGAAGCAAGAAAGUCAUUUCCCAUCCAUCAGAAUGGCAUGGAUAAGCUGAGUUUCUUCAAAUAAAAGUGGAUUUUUUUUUCUUUUUGUUUCUUAUAAAAAGGAAAAGAUGAGAUAAGCAGCUAGAUGUGGAAGGGCAUCCAUCUCUCUACACGUUUCGGUUCAGAACCCUUUCCGUUUGGGUGAAAGCAGAGGUGUGUAUGACUAUGGGUGAAGAUCCCAGAAAAGAGAAGCUACUUUUUGUUUGUUCGUUCCGAAAUAAGGGGGACAGCUGAGUUCAUCCUCCAUUGUAUUGUAGGUCAGGAAGGACUUGAACAAACAGGCAGAUUUAUUUUGGGAACAAACAUGAGGGCAAAUCAAGCAAGCAAAGAAAGAAAGAAAGAAACAGAUACCAUCACGCACCUAAUCAAUCAAUCAAAGGAAGCAAAACAAGAAUUAAGUUAAGCAGGAGGAGACAGAUGGAGAGAGGGUGAGGGAGGAGGGAGGAGACGAACUGUCUUUGGGUCCGUGGAAGUGGACGAAGAACUCCUGCAUCCCGUCGUUGAUCAUAUCCACCUUGUAAUCGCUCAUCAUCCUACAAGAGAAGCAAGCUAGUAUUAAACAUGAAUCAACAAUCCUCACAAGAGACAAGGAAUGAAUGGAUGGAUGCACCCAAAGGCCAAAGGGGAGGAGGACUGACAACUUCAUCAGAUCCAUCUCCCUGCGCUUGCUUGGGGAAGACAUCUCACUUCUUCUUCCUCCUUGCUCUGCUUCCCCUGCCUGUCUGUUUGUAGGUGGUUCUUUCUCUCUUUGCACAGAGAGAGAGAGAGAGAGAGAGGGGGGACAGGUGGUGUGUAUGGGAGCAAGCACAGGGCUAUAAUAUUCCAGAAAAGAGGAGUGGUGGCAUGAGGGCCAAUCUUAUCUUGCACACAUCAAUAAAUACUACUCCCUCUUGUUCAGAAAUACUGAAGUACUUGUCAAAGAAAUGAAUAGAAAUGGCUUAGCUAGAACUAAAAUACGUCUACUCCCUCCGUCUGGAAAACUUCGUCCGAGGAAAAAAUGAUGUAUCUAGUAUUAAACUACGUCCAGAUGCAUCCAUGGUUUGGAUGAAGGAAGAACUAUAUAAAAUAAUAUACUCCUACGUUGUACUAGUAGUUUAUAAGAGUACGUACACUCGAUCGUCUGCAAGAAAAUAAAUAAAAUGGUUAGGUUACGUUUCGUCCACACCACGGAGACAGAGCAAUGAUCACGCACUUCCUUUUCAAUUUUAUUUUAAAUCUUUAUCUGGUUGAAAUAAAAGUGCAACUUGUUUUGUUGCCGAAAGAGACUAGUACUCCUACUAGUAGAGUAGAGGAUGGAUGGACGAGUCUGGUGACAGGGACUACUUGUUGUGCACUGGAGUAUCUUUUUCUGGACAUGGAAAUCAGCCGAUGCACACGGAUGGCUCUAGCGUCUUGUUUUUGCUAAAUGGCCCCUCAUGAAAAUUAAUUCAUCCACCGACCUUCCCAAAAACUUAUUUCGUCAUCUGGCCCCUCGCAUUCACGCCAUCAUGUGGCUAAAUUACACGUGAGGCCACCGUCACCCAAGACGUGUCUGACCGGCCUGGUCCACGGUUGUCGGUGGCGUCGCCAGCAUGGCACCUCCCUCUCCCGCUUGAUGGAAGGACACGAUACUACCUACAACCCCUGCUUUUAGAUGGUCGGCCAUCACGAGAGUCAUCAGCAUGUCUCGUUUCCUGCUGGAUGAGCUGAUUUAAGCCCCAAACACCCUAUAAAUAGGCGUCAUCAAUUUAGCGUUCAUAAGUUGUAGAUUCGUCGGACGGUAUGUCGCAUAUAUGAUGGCACUAUAUAGAACCAGGCCAUUAAACGUUUUACCUUGUAAAGUCCACACGCCCUCUAGUUUGGCGUGGUAAGGCCUCGUGUCAACCGCCUAGCCAUUCAAUAUGAUCGUUAUAUUUUUUUUGAUUCAUUUAUCGCAUGGGCGUGUUCUUCGAAAGUCCACAACGUAACUGGGUGGCUAUAAAGGUGCAUUACAGGUAUCUCCGAAAGUGUCUGUUGGGUUGGCACGAAUCGAGACUGGGAUUUGUCAAUCCGUAUGACGGAGAGGUGUCUCUGGGCCCACUCGGUAAUGCAUCAUCAUAAUGAGCUCAAUGUGACUAAGGAGUUAGCCACGGGAUCAUGCGUUACGGAACGAGUAAAGAGACUUGCCGGUAACGAGAUUGAACGAGGUAUCGGGAUACCGACGAUCGAAUCUCGGGCAAGUAACAUACCGAUGGACAAAGGGAAUUGUAUACGGGAUUGAUUGAAUCCCCGACAUCGUGGUUCAUCCGAUGAGAUCAUCGUGGAACAUGUGGGAGCCAAUAUGGGUAUCCAGAUCCCGCUAUUGGUUAUUGGCCGGAGAGGUGUCUCGGUCAUGUCUGCAUGGUUCCCGAACCCGUAGGGUCUACACACUUAAGGUUCGGUGACCCUAGAGUUGUUAUGGGAAAUAGUAUGUGGUUAUCGAAGGUUGUUCGGAGUCCCGGAUGAGACCCCGGACAUGACGGGGAACUCCGGAAUGGUCUGGAGGUGAAGAUCGAUAUAUUGGACGAAGGGUAUUGGAGUCUGGAAGUGUUCCGGGGGUACCAGGCUAUGGCCAGCAUGUCCGAAAGGGGUUUCGGAGGCCCCGACAAGAGUUGGGGGGCCUUAUGGGCCAAGGGGAAGGGGCAAACCAGCCCACUAAGGGGCUGUGCGCCCCUCCCAACCCCUCUCACGUAACCAGGAGAGAUGGGGGCGCCUCCCCUAGGGCAGCCGCCCCUCCCGGCUUGGGGGGGCAAGUUUCCCGGGGGUGGGGGCGCCCAAACCCAUCUAGGGUUUCCCCUAGGGAACCCUAGGGAGCCUCCUCCACCCCUUCCCCCUAUAUAUAGUGAGGGAGAGAGAGGGCAGCCGCACCCCUGGCUUGGCGCAGCCCUCUCCUCCUCCAACUCCUCCUCCUCCUCCGUAGUGCUUAGCGAAGCUCUACCGGAGAACCACGAGCUCCAUUGCAACCACACCGUCGUGCUGCUGGAGUUCUCCCUCAACUUCUCCUCUCCCCUUGCUGGAUCAAGAAGGAGGAGACGUCCCCGGGCUGUACGUGUGUUGAACGCGGAGGCGUCGUCCGUUCGGCACUAGAUCGGAUCUUCCGCGAUUUGAAUCGCCGCGAGUACGACUCCAUCAACCGCGUUCUUGUAACGCUUCCGCUUAGCGAUCUUCAAGGGUAUGAAGAUGCACUCCCUCUCUCUCGUUGCUAGCAUCUUCUAGAUUGAUGUUGGUGACACGUAGGAAAAUUUUGAAUUAUUGCUACGUUCCCCAACAGUGGCAUCAUGAGCCAGGUCUAUGCGUAGAUUCUAUGCACGAGUAGAACACAAAGUGGUUGUGGGCGAUGAUUUGUUCAAUUUACUUACCGUUACUAGUCUUAUCUUGAUUCGGUGGCAUUGUGGGAUGAAGCGGCCCGGACCGACCGACAUGCACUUGAUGCAUAAGGUGGCUAGCGGGUGUCUGUCUCUCCCACUUUAGUCGGAUCGAAUUCGAUGAAGAGGGUCCUUAUGAAGGGUAAAUAGCAAUUGGCAUAUCACCGUUGUGGCUUUUGCGUAGGUAAGAAACGUUCUUGCUAGAAACCCAUAGCAGCCACGUAAAACAUGUAACAACAAUUAGAGGACGUCUAACUUGUUUUUGCAGGGUAUGCUAUGUGAUGUGAUAUGGCCAAAACGAUGUGAUGAAUUAUAUAUAUGUGAUGUAUGAGAUUGAUCAUGUUCUUGUAAUAGGAAUCACGACUUGUAUGUCGAUGAGUAUGACAACCGGCAGGAGCCAUAGGAGUUGUCUUAAUUUAUUGUAUGACCUGCGUGUCAAUUAAAAACGCCAUGUAAUUACUUUACUUUAUUGCUAUUCGUUAGCCAUAGUAGUAGAAGUAAUAGUUGGCGAGACAACUUCAUGAAGACACGAUGAUGGAGAUCAUGAUGAUGGGGAGCAUGGUGUCAUGCCGGUGACGAAGGUGCAUGUCGCGCCUCGAAGAUGGAGAUCAAAAGGCGCAAGAUGAUAUUGGCCAUAUCAUGUCACUUUAUGAUUUGCAUGUGAUGUUUGUCAUGUUUACAUCUUAUUUGCUUAGAACGACGGUAGCAUAAAUAAGAUGAUCCCUCACUAAAAUUGCAAGAGAUGUGUUCCCCCUAACUGUGCACCGUUGCGAAGGUUCGUUGUUUCGAAGCACCACGUGAUGAUCGGGUGUGAUAGAUUCUAACGUUCGCAUACAACGGGUGUAAGCCAGAUUUACACAUGCGAAACACUUAGGUUGACUUGACGAUCCUAGCAUGUACAGGCCUCGGAACACAAGAGACCGAAAGGUCGAACAUGUGUCGUAUAGUAGAUACGAUCAACAUGGAGAUGUUCACCGAUGAUGACUAGUCCGUCUCACGUGAUGAUCGGACACGGCCUAGUUGACUCGGAUCAUGUUUCACUUAGAUGACUAGAGGGAUGUCUAUCUAAGUGGGAGUUCAUUAAAUAAUCAUAUUAACUUAAUUAUCAUGAACAUAGUCAAAAGAUCUUUGCAAAUUAUGUCGUAGCUUACGCUUUAGUUCUACUAAGAUAUGUUCCUAGAGAAAAUUUAGUUGAAAGUUGAUAGUAGCAAUUAUGCGGACUGGGUCCGUAAACUGAGGAUUGUCCUCAUUGCUGCACAGAAGGCUUGUGUCCUUAAUGCACCGCUCGGUGUGCUGAACCUCGAGUGUCGUUUGUGGAUGUUGCGAACAUCUGACAUACAUGUUUUGAUGACUACGUGAUAGUUCAGUGCGUAAUGUUAAACGGUUUAGAAUUGAGGCGCCAAAGACGUUUUUGAAACGUCGCAGAACAUAUGAGAUGUUUCAAAGACUGAAAUUGGGAUUGCAGACUAGUGCCCACGUCAAGAGGUAUGAGACCUGUGACAAGUUUCUUAAGCCUGCAAACUAAGGGAGAAAAGCUCAAUCGUUGAGCAUGUGCUCAGAUUGUCUGAGUACUACAAUCGCUUGAAUCGAAUGGGAGUUAAUCUUCCAGAUGAGAUAGUGAUGGUUCUCCAUAGUCACUGCCACCAAGCUAUUAGAGCUUCGUGAUGAACUAUAACAUAUCAGGGAUAGACAUGAUGAUCCUUGAGCAACUCGCGAUGUUUGACACCGCGAAAGUAGAAAUCAAGUAGGAGCAUCAAUUGUUGAUGGUUAGUAAAACCACUAGUUUCAAGAAGGGCAAGGGAAAGAAGGGAUACUUCAUGAAACGGCAAAUCAGUUGCUGCUCUAGUGAAGAAACCCAAGGUUGAACCCAAACCUGAGACUAAGUGCUUCUGUAAUGAGGGGAACGGUCACUGAAGCAGGACUACCCUAGAUACUUGGUAGAUGGAAAGGCUGGUAAGGUCGACAGAAGUAUAUUGGAUAUACAUUAUAUUAAUGUGUACUUUACUAGUACUCCUAGUAGCACCAGGGUAUUAGAUACCGGUUCGGUUGCUAAGUGUUGGUAACUCGAAAUAAAAGGCUACGGAAUAAACGGAGACUAGCUAAAGGUGAGAUGACGAUAUGUGUUGGAAGUGUUUCCAAGGUUGAUGUAAUCAAACAUCGUACGCUCCCUCUACCAUCGGGAUUGGUAUUAAACCUAAAUAAUUGUUAUUUGGUGUUUGCAUUGAGCAUAGACAUGAUUGGAUUAUGUUUAUCGCAAUACGGUUAUUCAUUUAAGGAGAAUAAUGGUUACUCCGUUUAUUUGAAUAAUACCUUCAAUGAUCUUGCACCUAAAAUGAAUGGUUUAUUGAAUCUCGAUCGUAGUGAUACACAUGUUCAUGCCAAAAGAUAUAAAAUAGUAAUGAUAGUACCACAUACUUGUGGCACCGCCAUUUGAGUCAUAUUGGUAUAAAACGCAUGAAGAAGCUCCAUGUUGAUGGAUCUUUGGACUCACUCAUUUUUGAAAAGAUUGAGACAUGCGAACCAUGUCUAUUGGUAUAUAUGCAUGAAGAAACUCCAUGCAGAUGGAUCGUUUGGACUCACUUGAUUUUGAAUCACUUGAGACAUGCAAAUCAUACCACAUGGGCAAGAUGACUGAAAGGCCUCGUUUUCAGUGAGAUGGAACAAAAGAGCAACUUGUUGGAAGUAAUACAUUUGAUGUGUGCAAUCCAAUGAGUGCUGAGGCACCUAGUGAAUAUCAUUAUGCUCUUACUUCACAGAUGAUUUGAGUAGAUUCUAAGUAUAUUUACUUGAUGAAAUACAAGUCUGAAGUAAUUUUAGAGUAAAGUAGAAGAUCGUCGUGACAAGAGGAUAAGAUGUCUAUGAUAUGAUCAUAGAGAUGAAUAUCUGAGUUACGAGUUUGGCACACAAUUAAGACAUUGUGGAAAUUGUUUCACAACUAAUACCGCCUGGAACACCAUAGUGUGAUGGUGUGUCCGAACAUCAUAACUGCACCCUAUUGGAUAUGGUGCAUACCAUGAUGUCUCUUAUCGAAUUACACUAUCGUUUAUGGGUUAGGCAUUAGAGACAACCGCAUUCACUUUAAAUAGGGCACCACGCAAUUCCGUUGAGACGACACCGUAUGAACUAUGGUUUAGAGAAACCUAAGCUGUCGUUUCUUAAAAGUUUGGGGCUGCGACGCUUAUGUGAAAAGGUUUCAGGCUGAUAAGCUCGAACCCAAAGCGGAUAAAUGCAUCUUCAUAGAAUACCCAAAACAGUUGGGUAUACCUCCUAUUUCAGAUCCAGAAGCAAAAGUGAUUGUUUCUAGAAACGGGUCCUUUCUCGAGGAAAAGUUUCUCUCAAAAGAAUUGAGUGGGAGGAUGGUGGAGACUUGAUGAGGUUAUUGAACCGUCACUUCAAUUAGUGUGUAGCAGGGCACAGGAAGUUGUUCCUGUGGCACCUACACUAAUUGAAGUGGAAGCUUAUGAGAGUGAUCAUGAAACUUCGGAUCAAGUCACUACCAAACCUCGUAGGUCGACAAGGAUGCGUACUACUUCAGAGUGGUACGUAAUCCUGUCUGGGAAGUCAUGUUGCUAGACAACAAUGAACCUACGAGCUAUGGAGAAGCGAUGGUGGGCCCAGGUUCCGACGAAUGGCUCGAGGCCAUAAAAUCCGAGAGAGGAUCCAUGUAUAAAAACAAAGUAUAGACUUUGGAAGAACUACUUGAUGGUCGUAAGGCUGUUAGGUGCAGAUGGAUUUUAAAAGGAAGACGGAAAAUGAUGGUAAGUGUCACCAUUAAGAAAGCUCGACUUGUCGUUAAGAUGUUUUCCGACAAGUUCAAGGAGUUGACUACGAUGAGACUUUCUCACUCGUAGCGAUGCCAAGAGUCUGUUGGAAUUAUAUUAGUAGUUACUGCAUUAUUUAUGAAAUCUUGCAGAUAGGGUGUCAAAACAUUGUUUCCUCGAUGAUUUUCUUGAGGAAAGGUUGUAUGUGAUACAACCAGAAGGUUUUGUCAAUCCUGAAAGAUGCUAACAAGUAUGCAAAGCUCCAGCAAUCCUUCUAAGGACUGGAGUAAGCAUCUCGGAGUUGGAAUGUACGCUUUGAUGAGAUGAUCAAAGAUUUUGGGUUUAUACAAAGUUUAUGAGAAACUUGUAUUUCCAAAGAAGUGAGUGGGAGCACUAUAGAAUUUUUGAUGAGUAUAUGUUGUUAACAUAUUGUUGAUCAGAAAUGAUGUAGAAUUUCUGGAAAGCAUACAGGGUUAUUUGAAAAGUGUUUUUCAAUGGAAAACCUGGAUUAAGCUACUUGAACAUUGAGCAUCAAGAUCUAUAAGGAUAGAUAAAAAAUGCUUAAUAGUACUUUCAAAUGAAUACAUACCGUGACAAGAUUUUGAAGGAGUUCAAAAUAGAUCAGCAAAGAAGGAGUUCUUGGCUGUGUUACAAGGUGUGAGUAUUGAGUAAGACUCAAGACCUGACCACGGCAGAAGAGAGAGAAAGGACGAAGGUCGUCCCCUAUGCUUUAGACGUAGGCUCUACAGUAUGCUAUGCUGUGUACCGCACCUGAAGUGUGCCUUGCCAUGAGUUAGUCAAGGGGUACAAUAGUGAUCAAGGAAUGGAUCACAUGACAGCGGUCGAACUUAUCCUUAGUAACUAAUGGACUAAGGAAUUUUCUCGAUUAUGGAGGUGGUAAAAGAGUUCGUCGUAAGGGGUUACGUUGAUGCCAACUUUGACACUAAUCCGGAUGACUCUGAGUAGUGAACUGGAUUCGUAUAGUAGAGAAGUUAUUUGGAAUAGCUCCAAGUAGCGCGUGGUAGCUGCAUCUACAAGAUGACAUAGAGAUUUGUAAAGCACACACGGAUCUGAAUGUUGCAGACCCGUUGACUAAAACCUCUCUCGUAAGCAUAACAUGAUCAAACCCUAGAACUCACUCAGUGUUAAUCACAUGGUGAUGUGAACUAGAUUAUUGACUCUAGUAAACUCUUGGGUAUUAGUCACAUGGCGAUGUGAACUUUGAGUGUUAAUCACAUGGUGAUGUGAACUAGAUUAUUGACUCUAGUGCAAGUGGGAGACUGUUGGAAAUAUGCCCUAGAGGAAAUAAUAAAAUGGUUAUUAUUUUGUUUCCUUGUUCAUGAUAAUUGUCUAUUGUUCAUGCUAUAAUUGUAUUAACUGGAAACCGUAAUACAUGUGUGAAUACAUAGACCACAACAUGUCCCUAGUAAGCCUCUAGUUGACUAGCUCGUUGAUCAAUAGAUGGUUAUGGUUUCCUCACCAUGGACAUUGGAUGUCAUUGAUAACGGGAUCACAUCAUUAGGAGAAUGAUGUGAUGGACAAGACCCAAUCAUAAGCAUAGCACAAGAUCGUGUAGUUCAUUUGCUAGAGAUUUUCUAAUUUCAAGUAUCGUUUCCUUAGACCAUGAGAUUGUGCAACUCCUGGAUACCGUUGGAAUGCUUUGGGUGUACCAAACGUCACAACGUAACUGGGUGGCUAUAAAGGUGCAUUUCAGGUAUCUCUGAAAGUGUCUGUUGGGUUGGCACGAAUCGAGACUGGGAUUUGUCACUCCAUAUGACGGAGAGGUGUCUUUGGGCCCACUCCGUAAUGCAUCAUCAUAAUGAGCUCAAUGUGACUAAGGAGUUAGCCACGGGAUCAUGCGUUACGGAACGAGUAAAGAGACUUGCCGGUAACGAGAUUGAACGAGGUAUUGGGAUCUUGGGCAAGUAACAUACCGAUGGACAAAGGGAAUUGUAUACGGGAUUGAUUGAAUCCCCGACAUCGUGGUUCAUCCGAUGAGAUUAUCGUGGAACAUGUGGGAGCCAAUAUGGGUAUCCAGAUCCCGCUAUUGGUUAUUGGCCGGAGAGGUGUCUCGGUCAUGUCUGCAUGGUUCCCGAACCCGUAGGGUCUACACACUUAAGGUUCGGUGACGCUAGAGUUGUUAUGGGAAAUAGUAUGUGGUUACCGAAGGUUGUUCGGAGUCCCGGAUGAGACCCCGGACAUGACGAGGAACUCCGGAAUGGUCCGGAGGUGAAGAUCGAUAUAUUGGACGAAGGGUAUUGGAGUCCGGAAGUGUUCCGGGGGUACCAGGCUAUGGCCAGCAUGUCUGAAAGGGGUUUCGGAGGCCCCGACAAGCGUUGGGGAGCCUUAUGGGCCAAGGGGAAGGGGCAAACCAGCCCACUAAGGGGCUGUGCGCCCCUCCCAACCCCUCUCACGUAACCAGGAGAGAUGGGGGCGCCUCCCUAGGGCAGCCGCCCCUCCCGGCUUGGGGGGCAAGUUUCCCAGGGGUGGGGGCGCCCAAACCCAUCUAGGGUUUCCCCUGUGGCCGCCGCCCCUCCCCUAGGGAACCCUAGGGCGCCUCCUCCACCCCCUUCCCCCUAUAUAUAGUGAGGGAGAGAGAGGGCAGCCGCACCCCUGGCUUGGCGCAGCCCUCUCCUCCUCCAACUCCUCCUCCUCCUCCUCCGUAGUGCUUAGCGAAGCUCUGCCGGAGAACCACGAGCUCCAUUGCCACCACGCCGUCGUGCUGCUGGAGUCAACUUCUCCUCUCCCCUUGCUGGAUCAAGAAGGAGGAGACGUCCCCGGGCUGUACGUGUGUUGAACGCGGAGGCGCCGUCCGUUCGGCGCUAGAUCGGAUCUUCCGCGAUUUGAAUCGCCGCGAGUAUGACUCCGUCAACCGCGUUCUUUUAACGCUUCCGCUUAGCGAUCUUCAAGGGUAUGAAGAUGCACUCCCUCUCUCUCGUUGCUAGCAUCUCCUAGAUUGAUCCUGGUGACACGUAGGAAAAUUUUGAAUUAUUGCUACGUUCCCCAACACCCCCCCCCCCCCAACCAGACCCAAUUCCAAACCCCGAACACCAAGCCCAAUCCGAAACCCUACCAGCAGAAGAGUGGAAGAUAUGUCUUUAUUUAGCAUUGGACGCUCUAUAGCAGUCAUAUCGGUUUUAUUAAGUUUCUUCGUCAUCCCUUUGGGAUAUCAUUUUUUUUCAGCCAAUCUUAGUAUUGGUGUUUUUCUAUGGAUUGCCAUUUCAAGUAUAGCUCCUAUUGGUCUUCUUGUGAUAGGAUAUAGCUCAAAUAAUAAAUAUUCUUUUUCAGGCGGUCUACGAGCUGUUGCUCAAUCCAUUAGUUAUGAAAUACCAUUAACUUUUUGUGUGGUCGCAAUAUCUCUACUUGUGAUUCAUUAAAAUAGGAAUUUUUUCCUAUAUAAUCCAUUAACUAUUUAUAUUCCUUUUCUUAUUUAGUAUUUGGGUUGGUAAGUUAAACUAGAUAGCUAUAUGACUGAAACAAAACAGCUUAUAAAUUUGUAGUAAAAAGAAAAUAUCGCAUUUCCUACGUGCAAGAAAAAAGUGGAAGUAAACAUAAGCAGUGCAAACUUUUAUCCCAAGGUUGAUAUUUUUUUAAUUAGUCAUCAUAUCUUGAAGCGGGCAAGAAUAAAUGAUUCAGGAUAUGGAAUUCCAAUACUGGAAUAUCUGUAAGGUAAGCUUUAUAUGAAUCAAGUUCAAGAGGUUGUAGAUCAGUUCUAUAUGACAUUGUAGAAGCUGCCAGACAUGGGCUUGGUGAGUUUGAUCUGAACAACGAAGCAGCUUCAGUAGUGGUACAAAUGAGCGGUAAAGAAGGCAGCGAGGCCGACAGAGAUGCAAGUUUGCUAGAAAGGCCUCUCGCUUGGAGAGGCGGUUAGCAGGCAUGCACAGAGAGGAGGAAGAGGUGGAGUUGGAGGAGGAGGAUGAAGAGCAGGCAGCGAUGGACGUAAUGGACCCGGAGCUUCCACUGAUAGAAAUAUCCAUGCAUAGGAGACCACUGUCGCAUCCGAUGAGCUUAUCGAUGCAACUUUCGCUGAUUCCGAAGAGGCGGAGGAGGAGGCUGAGUUGGAAAACUUGGUGAGCCACGCAGACAACCCCGAACGAAGGCCCAGCCGAUGAUUGUUCAGUCUGUUUGAAAAAGGAAAUUUUCUGCACUGUAUACUAGAGGGACAUCAGCACACAUGAGUUCAGAAAUUUAACCGGUGAUAACCUAGCAGUUGUUGCGGUGCAAAGGCCGAGGUUUGGAAUCAGGAGGAUGAGCAUCUUGUGAGCACCAACCUUCCCCAAAAAUUUGGCUACAUCCACGACCCGAGGACCGGAAAUUGGGUAAAAGGAAGAGAAACAUCACUCACGUCAUCGGGUGUUACUGACCUGGAUUUUUUGAACAUUGAAAAUGGUCUGGUUGUUGAUGGUGUUUAUGGUACUAAUGGUGCCGAAAAGUGGUCAGUGAUGUAAUUGGAGAAGCUGGUUAGUCGUCAACAAAACCUUGAGCACAAUGAGUUUAAUUUUUUACUCGUACAAUAUGAUCAAAUGAUAUUUCUCCUCGUAGAUUAAGAAAGAUAAAGAAGCACACAAUGGCCUCUUCAUGGGAGAAGGGCCCCCCAGAAGUAUUGGGAAACCCUAAGCACCCCGGCCGCACGAGGGGAGUUGAGAUUUUUGCUCCAUGAAAAUAUGCCCGCAACCAUUGUUUGCAAGAGAAGCGCGAAAAGAAGAAAGCGAAGAAAAAGGCUGGUGAAGAUGAAAAAUUGGAGGAUUUUAAAGAGUCGUCGUUAUUACAAAGCCUACGAACAGAGUUGUUGGGCGGAGGACCAGCAUCACCAGCACCAGCACCGGCUGCGCCAAUGAUUGAAGGUCUGUAAGCACAUCGAAGUAGUUGCGCUUCCAUGGCCUUCCCUCAAGCUUAAGCUUUACUGCCCAAAUUCUAUCCCUACGAUGAGGUUAUGGUAAGUCGACGGUAAAUAUUCAUAAUACCACAUACAUGAUACUCAUAACCCAUCUGUCUUAAGACAAAAUUUACCAUUUGGUUAUAGGUUAUCAAGCCCUACAAGCUUAUAGUAAGGAUCGUCGGCUGUGACGAGGCUGUGGAAGCUGCUUAGGGCCAAUUCCACCCUCCUAUCCUAGAGCAACCGAAAGUCCACAAUGUUGUCCCUAGCCCCAAACAUGGUACGGUCACCGUGGACGACUACCAUCUCCCGUUCAAAAGUUUCAAGAUUCCAGUACUCCCCUAUGAAGAGAUGAACACACUCGAGCUGGCGAAGGGUAGCCUUAUCCAGUGGCUGAAGAGGGACAUCAUUUUGAAACAAGAUGAAUUAAUUAUUGCCGGGGUUGUGUAGGAACUCCUGAAUUAGACAACUGAUGGCAACUCAAAGGAUACAAUCAUCACACUUUUCCGUGAGGCGGGACAUGGAGGUGCCACACUAGCUGCGUGGCCGACAACCGUGAACCGGGGCCGGUCAAACACGCCUUGGGGGUACGUCGGAUUGACGUGUAAUCUAGGGACCUGGUUUGUUGUAAGGCACGAAUCCGGCGCCAGAUGCUAAAAUAAGUUUUCCAGGAGCCUGCGUGCAGAUUAAGUUUCUCAGGGGGCAUUUAGUAAAAAUAAUACUGACUCUAGCUUAGCUUGUUGGGCACAACUAGCUAGUACUAUUGCUGGCAAAAAGAUACUAUUGCAUCAAUCCAAAGAUAAUGAUUCACAGAGAGAGAGAGAGAGAGAGAGAGAGAGAGAGAGAGAUUCCAUCCAUGCUUUUCAGACCACUUCAACAUCUAUCAUUUUCGUUUCUUUUAUUUUCUUCUGCUGCAAGAGAAGAUUCCGUCCUGCUCUUUAUUUUAUUUCUAUUCACCCACAGCAAGCACCAGCAGACAAACAACCAAUUAUUUGAGUUUGGAUUUGGAUGAGCCACGUGGCCCUUGUUGCUAUCAGUCACCAGCCAGGCAGCCACACUCAUCCUCCUUCCUAGCCGUCUCUGUGGCUCAAGAUAUUAAUCAGUAAGAGUAAUUACCAUUAUUUAUCAAUGCUAUAUUUUCUUAUGAAAUGAAGGCCUUUUUUAUAUUUCUUAGUACAUCAUUUUGUAACUUGUAACACCAAAAAAUAUAACAGAGGAAACCGCCUCUGUUAGAGCAGAGCAGAAUUUGACCCCAAGGAGGAUACCGCCUCUUUUCGACCAAUGUAAGUAAUACAUAUUGUAUAUCACACAAGUUAUGCCGUUAGGAAAUAUAACAUAUAACCUAAAGUUUCUAAGUUUCUAAUGAUGUACUAGUAUGGAACAAUAAACACUCAACCUCUUGCUUUUCAAACACCAACCAAAUCCACACAAACAAUCAACUCCUCAUGGAGUAGAGUCAAAUGUGAUGUGAUGAUUUAUAUGCAUAUGGAUGAUAAGAAAGAAAGGGGGCCUCAACAAAACACAACACAACACAACAGGGUUGGUUGACCACAAGGUUAGGUUAGGUUAGGUUGGUGAUGUGAAGAAUAAACACAAUCAAACCUCUUGCUUGUCAAACACCAAACCUACACAAACAAUCAACUCAUGGAGUAUAAUGUGGACCAUAGCUACCUUUCACGAGACUCGUUCCAUAGCAGCCGCAAAGAAUAGAUGCUACUAUUAUACAUAUUUCAGACUAGCUGUAGAUGUUAUCUUUGUUACUAAUUUAAUUUAACUCUACGGCUAUUAUCCCAAUCCUUUUCAGCCACAAACAAGUACAAUGCAUCAUAUACAUUUCACAUGAUUGAAAUGUGAUGUGAUAGUAGUUUAUAUGGAUACUAAUGUGAUGAGGAGACAGGGAGCCUUCUUACAUCAAGCCCCACAAUUGUCAUUCUCAUUGAUACUAAUGUAUAUAUAACUAUACAUUGGCUACACAGAAUGGAUAUUUUUGGAUACUGCUACAUACAUAUAAGAUAUAUCUACCGUGACUAGAAAAAAAGAAUCGAGAAUAGAUGUGAAUGACCUCCUGCCUGCCCUGUGCUCUCUUCCCAACCCAGCCGGCAGCCAUAAACAAAACAAAAACAAAAACAAAAAGCUAUGACAUCUUUACACCAACCAACCUAUGACUAUGAAAAUGGAAUAAUCUACAAGGCCCGACCGGGGGAGCAGAAAGGAAGAGAAAAACCUAUAUCAACUGACAAAUUUACAACAUUCUAUCCUCCGGAGGCUACCGUCUUCUGCCCUCGCGCGGAACCCAUUCAGCUCUUCAAGAACUGGAACGACGCAUUUUCCAGGAGCUCUUGCGGCGGGACCACGUUCUGGAACUCCUUGGUGUCCAUGGAGUUGCCUAUCUCCUCGAGAGACAACGGCAUGCUGCAAGCAGGGCACACGGAGCGUUCGAAAUCAAGUUCGACACUGUGAUUCAGCACGUACGACUUUUAGUUUCUGAGAGUGCGCCAUUUGUGGAUAUACGGCGUACACGUACCUUGUCUCUUCGUCUAGUAAAUAGGCGCCCGAGCCAGCUCCCUCGUUCACCAACGUUUUCAUCUCAUUAAGGACCUACAAUACAAUCAUUAGGAAAUGUAUCAGCCCUGAAACCUCAGCUUGGCACAGACAGAAUGCAGGGGAAGGUGCUCGAUUAGCCCUGUGAAGUUAGAUUUGGUGCUUAAUUACCUCUUCGGAUACACUUUCAGUAUUAUAUUUGUCAUCCCAGUACUGUGUGCAUAUCCUGUAAAGUUGGUGGACACUCAAUACCUGCAUAACGGCAUGCAGAAAUAGGUGUUUAGCUACUCUUCUUCUGGAUGCUGCGUUGGGUUUGGGGGUGGGGGUGGGGGGGCCUUACUGGGCAGAGAUCACUCAUUAUUUCAUCAUAUGAUACCCUGAACUUUUUGAAAAUGACCUGCAUCACAGCACAAAGAUGGUCAGACCUACCUAAUAGGGACACAAUUUUCAUAGAAGUCAGUAAACAGCACAGCGGCAGUCUUUGAACAGCAAACACAAACACAACUAAACUGUUCCCAGUGUGCGAUUCAAAAUCGAUUGAAAUGCUCCACAACUUUUUAUACUUAAAAGAACUACUCCCUCCUUUCACUUUUAUAAGUCGUUUCAGACAAGUGAAAUUGAGCUGUUUUGCACAAUGUCUGAAACAUCUACAAAGCCUUAUAAAAGUGAACAGAGGGAGUAACAAAUGUUGUUAAGAUAAUGAUAAGAAUCCAUGCCGAAAUACAAAAUACAUGCUGAAGUUUGUAGUUACGUACCAGGAAGCCAACAGCCUGGCUUAUGUGCUUAAGUUCAUCCCAUGCAGAUCCUGCGUACUGUUGGUAUUUCACGGUUAGCGGUUAGGCACAAGGUAAAUAAAGUGAAGAUAUUAGUACUGGUGUUACAUUGUACUCCCUCCGUUUCUAAAUAUAAGACCUUUUAGAGGUUCACUAAAAGGUCUUAUAUUUAGAAACGGAGGGAGUAGUUACUAUUGAGAAAGAAUAAAGUUAUUAGACUACAAUGUUGGUUGCGAGCAUUUAACAAUCAUAAUAUAAAGUCUGCAUCUUUAGAAAGAAUAGCAAAAUCAAACAUAUAUAUUUACCUCUGGCUUGGCUUGUGUGCACCAUGCCUCCAGUUCUUCAAUCCCUUGUUUCACAUAUUCUCCAUUGCUGAAAGAACAGCACUCUCGCCGUACAAGAAGACUGGGACAUAUAGCAACAUCAGAAGAGGGAGAAUUAGGAACUGCGGAAAUUGACGGCAGGCAAGGAAAGUCUAGUCUAGACACGAAGUUACCUAUUGAAGAGUUGAGCGUUGAUGUAUGCAUAAAGCUGUGUAAAGAUCUUCCGACAAAAAAUGGUUGGGACCUGAAAUUUCAGCAUUAAGGCCAGAAGUCAGAACACCAUGCAGCCAAAUGCAAUGCGGGUUUCAAGGUUUAAACUUACACAAUUUUCUUGCAAGAUUUUCAGGAGAUCAUUGAAAUGGCCGACUAUCGCUUUCCAAUAGCUAUGUUGAUCUGUUAGCAAACCAGCCUUCGCAGUUCUUGGCGCCUUUGAGUAUCAAUGUGUAUACAGGAAUGAGCAUUAGACCAGCAGCAACAACUUAUUGCCAUGCAGGUGCAGAGUUAGCAUGAAAUCUUAACAUAUGAAUUAUAUAGCCUAAUCAUCAGGCAAUAGAAAUUCAUCAUGGUACAAAGGUACUCGUGAUAUAAAUAAUAGUCUAAUUUCUUCUCGUUAAGUUUGCAAAAGGGUUCAAGUGUUAUGCCAAGUUACCAACUGAGAGGAACUAGCCAAAAACAUGCAAGCGUGAGUCAAAGUUAACUUAGUAUUCCUGGAUUCCCAUGGGAGGUUGCUGAGAUGUCUCAUGCUUAUUUCUAAAAUUAUAUUUGUCCAGCAAGAAUCUUCUAAAGCAUGAAAUGAUAAUUAACCUGAGGACCCGUGAUAGAUGGGGUAACCUGAAUAACAUGCGAGAGUACUGAAGACACUUCUCUCUUCACAUUGUCACGGAUCAUUCCAUAUAGGCCUUCCACAAAGGCUGUAAGCUGUUGCUUGAAAAGGAAUGCAGGAUACUUGCCCUCAACUUGGCGCACAAGAUCCAUAUCAACAGUAAUGCUUGAAGCACGAAAUACCUGUGGAUCAUAUAACACCAAGAGAUUAAGAAAUGAGUCAAGAUAACCUCGUCUAGCCUAUCAUACAAUUUUCACAAAAUACAAUUGCUAGAAUUCAGAGAACCCUUGUUAAUCAUUUUGUUAAAAAAAAGGAUGAUUAUUCGUUCUCUUUUUUUUUGUUUCUCGUUCCCUCUUUUGGCUUUUCUGGUUCUCCUUAUGCGUGUUCAAGAAAAGAAAAGGAUAUAUAUAUAUAUAUAACAUACCAUCCUCCCAAGGAAAGACGUCUGAGUCGUUGUUCUUUUCAGUGGUGUUGUUACAGUGCCAGCAGGUUUCAGACUCUUUUGCAGUAUAAUCAACAAUGAUGAUGCAUUUGAUAGCCAGUAUGCAAGAUCGGCGUUACUGUCUUGUUUCUGUGAUACAAAUUGUGCAAAUUUGAAAAGGGCAACAAUAUAAAUUGAAUACGCCUGACAGAAUCACGCUAUGAUGGACAUAACUAAGUAAAUCAUAGAAUGAAAACGAGCACAAGAAUUGUUUAAGGCUUGAACACUAGAAAUACCUGCAUGGCUGAACUAAAUAUCUGAAUAAGUCGAUCAAAAAUAUUAGUUUUUUCCGCCUCGAAAGUUCUCCAAUGAAGAAGACAUUUGUAUAUGGUUAUUGCAGCAACUGGUUUUCCCUCGCUAAAUCCAAUGUUUUCAUUAACACAGUUAAUCAGUGCUUCAACACUCUCCUGCAAGUAAAAGGUGGAGCCAUAGUUUAAUUUGUUUUCUAAUGACUUCAUUAACUGCUUUAAUUAUCGAACAUCAGCCCAAGUAAGUACUUGGUGUCUCUCAAUUAAAGAUCUCCGUCCGAAUUCCAUAGGUGUGGGUGGUGACUGCAGGGAUGAUUAUAUUAGAUUCAAUCAUGAAAAAUAAAUCUAAAGAGUUAUUAACAAGCAGUAUAAGAUAUUCCAAACCUGUUGUUCGUCUGCAGGUACACUCAAAUUCUGCACAGUUGCAAACACUCAGAAGCAUAAGAAUACUUUCAUGUGAGUGUGCACACAAGAGAGAGAGAGAGAGAGAGAGAGAGAGAGAGAGAGAGAGAGAGAGAGCGAGAGAGAUUACAGAUUUUUUAUGCAUGUUAAGCAAAGGAUCAGGUCUUGGUCUCGCAGCAUGUUGUCGGAGAUUAAUGAUCUCUGCUUCUGCACUAGCCAACUUCUCUCGAAGGCUGGUCAUGGAAAUAAUUGCAAUCGUUUAACAUAAGAUGGCUUGGCUAAUAAAGGAUAGAAGCAUUUACCAGCAUCACGAGUUUAUAUCAAAUACAACAUGAAAGAAGAACCUUAGAAAUGCAUUCUUUAGUUGAUUUAGCUGUGACUCUGCCUCUGUAGCUUUCUUCAGAGACUCUUCUCUGACUUGGUCUUGAUCUUUAAACCUCUCUUCCGUUUCCUCUAUUUUUGUCUCAAGAGAGCUCACCAGUGUCUGCAAGUCAAAAGUUUAUCACUCCAUUACUCCACUAGGGGUACAAAAAAUAAUAAUUGGAUAGCAAGUGUAUUCAUGUUAUGCACACCCUCCUAUGAUUGGCCAUUUAAUAGCAAAUGAUUUAACCAAUGAAUACGUCUAUUUGAACAUCGAAGCUACCAGACUAAUCAAAAUCUAAGAUGUUCAAUAACGUAGAUUGUUAAAAAAAUUGAAUGGUAUUCAUCCUCAUUUAUGGUUUCACAUGAAUAUCCAGAAAAAAGGAUGAGGAGUUCACUGAUUCAAUGGUACCUAUAUAAGCUACACAAGAUUCAUCGCUAGAUUUUGUUAUCACAUUUUCUUUUGUAUUUGUUCGUAUUUCUGCGUUAAUACCUUGAGCUUCUCAUUUUCAGCAGUGAGCUUCUCGUUUUCGGCAGUGAGCUCAUUAACUUGAGUUUCAUCAACACGGAUCUCUGGCACUAGAGUAACUUUCUCUGCUUUCUCUGAUGCUGCCUUGGAAGUUUCCUGUUCCUUCUUUAACAAUUCUUUUGUUUCCUUGAAUUGCUGUUGCAAUUCCUGCAAUUGUGAUUGGAGCUUCUUAUUUUCUUGAAUCUUGGCUUCCUUGGCUUCUUCCAAAUCAGACUGCAAGUACAAAGUAUGUAUAUGUUAUUCCAAAAUGAUCAAAAGUUUCCUUCAUAAUGUUAUGAGAUGCACAAUGCUCCUCUAUCAUACUAGCAAUAGCAGCCUUGCAAAUGUGCCAACUGUUGACAUGAUAUCUGCGAGUUUUUGUUCUUAUUGUCCAAUUAUUUUCCAUCUUCUUUAUACAUCCACCACAAGAUGCUAAUUUGCAUGACAGCCCAGAGAAGUUUUGCAAUCUAAUGCACAUUAUAGGUCAUAGGAAGUGCCGCCUAUUAAUAAAUUCCAUGUCAGCAGAUAUGUUUGUGCUGAAUAGCAAAUGUUAUGUUACUCCUCUACAAAAGUUUUCAAAGGAAUUUACUCUAUGCAUUUGGACCAUGCAUAAAAAACAUUUUUAGACAACAUUGUGGCCAUGGUUCUGUGCUAGUUUACCCUGAUGCGUUUCUCCACUUGUAACCGCCAAGUAAGCUCCUCGACUUCUUUCUCUAGUUUACUCUUGGCAGCCUGUAGGGCGCCAGUUUCCUUUGCAGCCUGAAAGUAAUGAAAAAGUGGCCAGGCACCAAAGAAAUCAAAAUAGUUCUCAAUAACUGAAUCAACCAGAGUUAUAAUGAACUCAGCGCUAUGAUUUGCUUCGUGAUACAGAGAAAUAGAAAUGUAAGACCAUGGUAGUUGAGUGAUAUUUUUUUUUCCAACCUAACUGGGUGGUAUCCUAACCAAAAAAAAAAGGAAGAUGAAAAUAGUUGUAACAACACAAGUUUGCAGUUACAUUACUACCAUGGCUGUAAAAGAAAUAUUUUAAGGGAUUUUGUCCUGAAAAAACUACCAAUGUUGUAGCUUGAUCAAGGGUAGAAAGGAGGAAGUCAAGAUAAGUUUACAAGGGCUCUUACCAUUUUGAGUUGUCGAAGUUCUUUUCUGGCUAUUCUUCCUCUCCAACGACACUGAGUGGCGAGUGUAGCCUUCAACAUCUUCACAUACCUUGAGCGUGCUAAAUGACAGCGGCAUCGAGUCUACAAUGUACGAAAUUGUAUUAGACUAGGUAUGAUAUAACUAUUUGUGACUUAGCCUCUUGUUAUCAUGAGAAACACAAAUAUUUCUGAUACUUUUUACUAUCAUAGUUAUUAGCACCUCAUUUCACUAUGCUGAAAACAUAGGUUUAUUUAUGCCGAUACAGAACAUAUCAAACUUUUGUGUAAGACGAACACAGAAUUACAGAAUCAAUAAAUAUCCAUCACAAGUAUCUCAUAUAUGAUCAGCACUUGCAUAUUCUAUUUGGUGGAUCUACUUUGAUUGAAUUAAACAUGAAGCCUCAGAAAUACCUGAAUAAUCACUGCAGCUUUUGUUUGUCGGCAAAAACGGAGUUUCUUGCGAGCAGCCAUACCACGCAGACCACAUUGGAUAGUAGUUGAUGCGGACCACAGAUCUCUAAAUUUAUUUCUUUCUUGGCGCAUACGGUAGCGCGUCUGAAUUCGCAAAGCACCUGCCUGUCUUCGAAGAUUUUCAUAUAACCUUCUAGCAAGUGUUCCUUCGAUAAUGAAAGUAUAUGAGUCACUAUCUCUGCUAAAGCAGGGUUUGUGGAAGAAAAAUAAACUGGAAACAGAUAUAUGUACCCCUGCAUACUGCCUCGAGCUGUGUAGCACAUGUUCGCAGCUCGACGUACUUCUUGCGACACAGAAAUGAACGAACUUUGGUUUGUAUUUUUUUAGCAGAAAGUCCCAAAACCUCAGUUCUUAGAGCAUCUAACUCAGCCAUUUGACCAGCACGGAGAAAAACUUUUGUUUUCCCUAUCUGUAAAAUUCGAAAUCAGAAGGUGAGGCUGAUACAAGAAUAACGAAACAACAUAUCAGAUAUCAGUGUUUCACACAAAAUGAUUUGUCAAACUUGGAUCACAUUCAAGUCUUGGAUUGCUAUAUAUGACUGGAAUGUCUGUUAGCAAACAAUUUCCUUUGGGGCAUGUGCAAAGGCAGAGCUAGACUGAGAACAACAAGGGUUCAUUCGGUGCUGUGCCUUUCUUUGAUGUCUGUAUUCUGGCCCAUCAGGGUGUAGCUUGCAUGGGUUAGGGUGGUGCACAAGAGACUAGUGUGAAUUAUUCUUGGGCCAGGUCGGUACACCCCCAAGGGCCUAUUUGGCUCCCGUCCCAGGUAUGUGGAUCACAAAUACCAAAAAUUCAAUCUAAAAACCCGAGAAAAAUAAACACAACUUCUUUUGGGGAUCCAGAUUAUAAUUCACACAAAAUGUGUAGAUCAAAAUGAAGUUUUGUAACACAACUCUGUUUAGCACUGCCUAUUCAUUAGAUCAAUCAUGGGCUCUUGGUGGUCGCUGUUGUGAAUUGUGGUACUCUUUUAAGAUUGCCAAACUAAGAUCAGGACCAAGAAAUGAAUAAACUGGAAACAUCAAAGCACUAAUAUUUCUUCUAAUAGUUACCUGAUAGCCUACAAGGUUAGCUUUCUCGAGAAUCAUCUUCGUAGAAGUAAUUUCAGUAUUACUGCCAAAGGAAAAAAACACAUAAGUACUUACAACAUAUGGAACAGAAACAAUGAAAUAAUCAAAUAAAUAGUAAGUUACCCUUUACUCAGAGCUUUGGGGUGCAGAAUACCAAAUCGAUUGACAAAUUCAUAGAAGGUUCGCCUAGUGGGGUAUCCUAGACAGCUUAUCCUUAUUGCCUCUAAAACACCCUGUUCAAAAAGACAGAUGGCAUUUCACGACUCGAAUGCAGAUCAAUUGUAUUAUUUUCUCUGACAUUUAUGCAUUUAGACCAGCAAAAGAAACAGCACAGAAAUUGGUCUCACCCCACAGCGAAGCUGCUGGAGAACGUUACUGUUCUCAAAUAUCGCUGGCUUGAGAACAUUGUUAGGUUUUAUGCAGCGGAUGUAGUGUGGUUCUGUUGCACUCAGCGUUUCUAACAGAGAUUGUAGUUGUUGCUGCAAUAUCAUGCCAAAAUAAAAAGGGGUAAAUAAACACAAAAUAUAUGAAGGGAAUAGAGCAAAUGUUGUACCUUGAAACUUGAGCCUAUUGAAGUAAACUUUGUGUUCUUUGCUGCUUCUUCAACAGGUGGAAAAAGGCUUGAAACAAAUGGACAUUUUGAAGCAUUCAAUAGGAUUUGAUGUUCAUUUACAGCAUAAUCUAUGUUUUUAUCUAAGAAAAGAUCUGUUUGAUAAGUGACCUGCAGCAGGCAGAGACAAUUAUUUAGUGUGCGCAUCUUAACUGUGUGAAUAGCAGCCAGUUCAAAUAGAACCGUCUGAUUAGCAGGAGCAAUAAACUAUCUACUGUUAAGAUAGUGAAUGAAUGUGCUACAUGUGUGUCAGGAGGAUCAAAGGAAUGUCAGCUGACUAGGCAAAAUACUUGGGCUUCAAUUCUUUUCUAUCUAGCACAUUUGGGAAGUAUUUUACUCUGUUGCUUGCUGAUUCAAGCAAAAGCUGCUAACAGAUUGGCAGACUUGGACACAUUUUGGCCAUCUAACAUCAAGCCUUUUAGUGCUCAAAUUAACUGCCGUAUUUUAUCCAAGUGUAGGACAGGCCUGUUAGUUUCUUUAGUAAGUUAAACACCUGCCCCUAGAUGCGGAAUUUCGAUUUAUCUGCAGUUAUCAGUUAUGAAGAGAAGACAUAAUAUCCUGGUUAAAGCAAGCGCUGUAUACCCUGGAGAGAUAAACUCUCCUCGACUCCGCAUCAUAAGAUGCCAAGUAGUCGAAUACUAGAAGGUACCUACAAUCAGCUUACUGCAAAGGAACGAGAUGCAGAUGGGUACAUUAAACAUGAUCUUAGAAUGGCAAUAUCUCGCAUGGUAAGUACACCAUAUUUAUCAUAAUUACAUGUCAAUCACAUGUAUUUUCCAGUGUGGGCAGACAACUGGUAACCACUCAAAAACAUAUUGCCAGGAAACAUAAACUUUAAUAUUUACAUGUACAUCAAUGAUAUGUUACCUACAUUUCCAGCAUAAUGAUGGACAGUGAAAUCAGAUCUUGAAAAUUUGGGUUUACUGAAGUGCGGGUUGUCCUUGUACUUUUGAUAUAGCUUCUCAGCAAAUGUUUCAUGCGUUGAAUUCCGUAACAUGCUGAAUAAUAAGAAAACACAUUGUUAAUAAUUUUUUUUAGAUUCUAACGGAAAAGGAUAUGUUUACGGUUAUAUGUGCAUACCAUGUCUCAUCCAACAGAGCAAUUAUCCCCCCUGGUUUCUGCAUCAAACAAAUUAGAAACAGGAAAUAAGAUGACAUAAUUAAUUGGUUAUUACAACAUAUCAUGGCUAAAGCAUACAGCUAGAAAAAAAAAAUGCACGAAACACAAUCAACCAGACAGCAGAUACGUACUUAUCAUGCAUGGAAAUAAUGCUAUCAUCAUGUAUAGCAUCUAACCCGGAUUGCUAAUAUGGCAUGUGCAAACGUUACGGAUGGAAAUUAUCGGCAUCUCAGUAUACAAUCUGGAAUACAAACUAGUACCACUACAUCUAAGUAUCUAACUCAUCACCUCCAAAUAAAGAUGUCACUGUAACUAGAAUCUGAGUUUCAAUACCUUUUCAAUGAGAUCAAGAAUUUCUUGGUUGUCCACAAACUGGAUGUAACUCCAGUCAAUUUCUUCCUUUGUAUAUUCCUCUUGUUCCAUCUUAAAAACAUGCUGUUGAUGGGACAUAUUUUAGUUAGGAAAAGACUCGGCGUUAAACCGGUUGGACGACCUAAACACAAAACUUGUCGAGCGAAGGAAAUUCCAUUUUAUAACCUGAUUAAAAUGUUGCUGGAGCUUCUCAUUAGUUAGAUUGAUACAAAAUUGCUCAAAGCUGCAAACAAUCAAAAUGUCAGCAUGUACUAAUUACCUUCUUUCAAAUCUGGCAUAAGCAGAUAGUUAUAUAUGCAGAAGUUGAACUAUCAUCUACUGCCAGUUAAGAGUAUGCAUAAUCAAGGACUUCAGUGAACAAGAAAGUUAGCAAGUAAAACCCUGCUGCUGCCGGACGGCGCUACCGUGUAGUGUGUUGCAUUCUUAGUGUGGUGUGCGCGUAGUGCCUCCCUGAGGCUUUUACAUAAACCACUUUCGUUUUAGUGCAUCGAGACGCAAUCCUUUUGCGCUUUCUUGAACAAAAAAGGUUAGCAAGAAAAUAUUAAUAUUAUGGCUUUCUUGACCAAUACUAUAUUACUAUUCUUUUAGUAGUGACGAAACGAGUGGCAUGUCCCAUUAAAACAGAAGGGUUUAAUACCCAGUCCAAGUUUGGGCCAGGAAGGACGAUUAGUGUUGUGUUGGGUCCACACAGCUACUUGCAUAGGUUAGAGAAGCAUAUUUAUGCUAAGGAUAUCAUCUGAUCAUUUGAUAUUCAUAUCAUACAGUUAUAGUUUGAUUAAUUUCCAUCUGAUCCACAAUUAAGGCAUACGGGACAAAGGAGCUUGUCGCAUCCUCCCAUGCGUACGUGUGUUGUGCAUUAGUGCUGAAGUCCAUCUACUAAGACUUCCAUAUGUGACUUCUGUAAGUGUACGAACAUAAAUACUAGAUUAAAUGCAAAAGCAUACCAGUUAAGCACCUGUUUGUCUUGAAACUCUCAAAGCCAUAUAUGUCCAGCACACCAAUCAAAAUCUUUGAAUCUGGGUCUUGACCAAUGGAGCUAUUGAUUUUAUUUACAAGCCUGUAACAGUGGGGAACACAGUAUUCAUAAUUAAUCUUGAUAUAGCACAGUAUACAGAAGCACAAAGAAACCUUCCAAAAUGAUGGUUUCCAGACUUACCAAUCAAACAAGCGCGAGUAAACAAUCCUAGACAAUGCAUCUCUGCUAAGAGCUGCACCCUUUGCAUCUAAAUUUUUUGUAAUACUCUCUCCACGUGUUGCCAUAACACGCUUGCACAAAGAUUCCUCAAGACCCUUUGCAUCGCACCUGCAGAAUGUUGCCGGUGCAUGUUCAUAAAAAGAAUGAAAAAGGAACUUUCGGAAAAUACUCAAAAAACAUUAAUAAAGAAAUAUAUAUAUACAUGAAAAGCUCAGCUGCUGUCUUAAGAUGGAACUUAGAUUUAUCAUCUUUGGGUGCAGAGGAAUCUGGUUCACUUCCUUCUCCAAACUCUAUAUUCCCCAAAUGGAGAAUAGCAGCUACAACUUUGAAUAUUGCAUCCUGAAAGAAAUAUCAAAUUGUAUGUAAAUAAAAAAUAAAACAUUCCUCCCUUGCUGAUGUACUAAACUGGUUGCCGGUGAAAUUGGCCGUACCUGUUCAUCAUUACUCAUACCUACAAUACCCAUAGCUCUUCUGGUUUCGAUAUACUCUUUGGAGUCAUCAAAUCCAUUAAGAUCAAUGCAAUUAGACUGGUUGAGAUAGUGAAAUGUUUUAGCCUCUCCCACUUUAAAUUUGUCGCGGUCCUGAUAAUCAUAUUCACAUAUCAAAGCAAUAGGUUAGUACACUACAUAUGAUUUUAUAUAAACACUCAAAGUUACAAAGGGCUACAACAAAAUGCGGAUCAGAGGAUGUAGCAAAUCAACACAAAUGCUAAUUAGAUGAUUUACAGUUGCUAAUCAACAUCUUAUGUCUUGGCUCAAUCUUACAGUUUCUAGUCGUCCUAAUUUGAAAAUCCAUAUCUCUAACAGACCGAUUUACUUGCAAGAAAUGUAUGAGAAACUAUAUCUUUCUUGAGAUGAUAAUUAUGUUUAGACCUAUUUUACAGAUCCCAGAAGCAAUGAUUAUCCAGGAAAGACAUACAGUAUAUUUCAGCUUGUGGCAGUUAGCCUCUAUGUGUGAAUGCCCUGAGGUUUUUGCAAAUUUCUUCAAUUUUUACGGUGCAGAAUAGGGUGUUUUUGUAAGCAAGAUAUAAUUUCAAUAAAACAUAGUAGUUGACAAAUAAUGUGGUUCCAACAAAAUUCAGAAGAAGAAGAGCCUCUUACUUCUGGUGGUGAAGCGCACAGCAUGUAAAAGCAGUGAUAGUUCCUUUCUGGGUCAGAUAUUUGACAAACACGUGACCUUUCCAGAAGAUAAGUCCUUAUGGCGGCUCCUGAAAUCUUCCCAUACUGGUCAAACUGAAUCUCAACGAAUUUGCCAAACCGACUGCAGAAUCAAGAAAGGUAAGAUGUAUAGCAAACAUCCUAUGAAGAUAAUAAUACAUUCAAGUUGUGUAGGUAAAUUAAUUAAUAGCCAUCCAAAAAGUAAAUCAAUACUAGUGCAUUACCUUGAGUUAUUAUUCCUAACUGUUUUUGCAUUGCCGAAUGCCUCAAGAACAGGGUUGGACUGUGUCAGGUAAGCAGAGCAUGUCAGAACAUAAUGUGAAUUACAUACUAGUGCUUCUUAACCACUUUUUUUUUAGUGGUUCUUAGCUUGCCAGGUGUGCUUGUGCUACCAGCAAAAGAAGGGCACUGAGAAACGCACCUCUAGGAUCUGUUCUUGCACUGACCUUCCUUCAGCUUUAGCUUUACCACCCAUAAAAGCAAGAUACUGCAUAAGACUUUUAGUGCUUUCUGUCUUGCCAGCUCCACUCUCUCCACUCACUAAUAUUGCUUGGCUGAUACGAUCGUUGAUCAUAAGUCUGGGAAGAAUAAAGAUAGGGUGCGAAUUGGUUAUUAUUGUCAGGUAAAAUGUUGAAUCUGAGAAACUGCAGUGGCAGUGGGGGAGGAACGCACCUAUACGCACGGUCGGUGAUAGCAAAUGGAUGGGGACUCAGCUCACCGAAUUCUGCUCCUUUGUAAAUUCCCAUCAUGUGGUUGUUAUAGAGGUGGGGUAGUCUUUGAAAUGGAUUCACAGCUAUCAAAAUAUUCCCAGUGUAAGUCUGGAAGAAGAAUUUAAUCCAUUAGAGAAGCUGCAAGAAGAUGAAUAGUAUCUCAAAUGAAAAAGGUACUUUUGUGCACAUGAAGAAGGUCAUAGCAUUUUUCAUGAUGGAAUUCCACUAGCUCAUGGAAGAGCACAAAAUUAACCUGGAUGUUAAUUUGUUGAGGGACUCAACUUACGUAUAUCUCAUUGAGGGCGUAUCUGGACUUGAGGUUCUGGAGCACUCCUGGUUCGUGCAGAUAGGCGAGCCUGGUCAUAUCCUCAACACCACCACGCGGGGAUUCCGUGUCCUUGGGAAAGGCAGUCGAGAGAUUAACGGUGGCCUUCUUUCCAUUGGUGCAGUUUAUGACAAGGUCCUCCCCGUUGACCUCCUCCACCUGGCCAUCCAUCCAUGCCUCGUCUGCAUCUUCGAUCCAGACAUGAGAGCCGACGACAAAGCGGCUUUUGGUUUUGGACGCCUGCAGCAACGACGACAAGAUUGACAUUAGUUCUGGUUGAUGCUGGCAUGUAUGGUGAGUAGAAAUUAAUCUACAUUCCCUUUUAUCAGUUAUUAUGGAUGAAAUUAAUCUGCAUUACAAGAUGUGUCAAAUGCAGAAACCCCAUUGAAGGAUGUAUGUACCGUACGUUUCCCUUGAACAUGGCACAUGAAUUGCGCCAGAAAUGAAUUGAUGUUCCAAAUGUGCGUUGUUGAAUAAACAAGUUGAAUUGAAAACAAAAGUAAAGAAAAAGGAGCCAACAAGCAUUGAUCGCGUCCGGGCAUUUCAUCAAACAGUUGCUGAGGCCACGCCAAAGGGGUCGCAUUUGGGGCCAAGAACCGAUUUUGAUCCCACGGAUUGAAUGGAGGGGGAGAUUGAUAGAAUACCAUUGUUGGGCGACGGCGGCGGGGCGAUGAUGAGAAGAGAUCAGAGGGAGGCCGGCCGCAUCAACUCCGUCCCGCGGCGGCAGGCCGAAUGCGAGCGGUGCCGGUCGAACGGCGGCCGCACCACCACCGCACCGGGCCCUCUUGCAGGCAACGGCGACGGCGACGGAGAAUGGGGGGGAAUGAAUGAAAUCCUACGGAGCAGGGUCGAAUCCACGGCGAGCGAGCAUUGCCGUCCGUCGACAGCAACGCGGUGGUGGUGGUGGUGGCGAGAUUUCCUUGGGCUCGCUCUGGUUGUGGAGCUCCCUUACUUUUUUUAGCAGCGGGUGUGGGGAGGAGGGGGUGGUCAUGGGAUGCAAUGCAAGAAUGGAGGAGGAGCCGCCCCCGCACUCCCGCGCCAUUGCCAUUGCCACACACCGAGAAGAAUGCGGGAUGCUCUCUCUCUCACACACACAAAAUACCAGCAUAUGCCACUUUCCUUCUCUCUCUCAUGGGUGGGUUCUCUUGGGCCGGGCCGCCAGGCCUGUGGGCCGGCAUUAAAGCUGGCCAUAUGGGCCAGCCCGUGAUCACCGAAUUGACACGGCACGCGAUUAAAAGGGUCGGGUCGGGUCGGGUCGGCCUUUGGCCCACCAUGGAACAAGGCCUCUCUUGAAAGCCGGGCUUUAAGGUCGGUCCCGGCACGCUCCUUUUAAUUGUAGGCCAGCAUGACACCGGAACACGGCCCGUCUCGCUUGUAACUAGCAAAAGAGUCAUAGUAUUUUGUUUUGUAUUACUAGCAAAAGAGUCCGUGUGUUGCAACGGGAGAAGAAAAUACCACACAACCCUAACCCAAUAACCAUGACCAAGACCCCAAUAGGUCUUGCCGAGGCGUCCCUCUCGGCAUAAGAUGAGAAAUCUAUUUUUUUCAUGCAAGAUUUUGCCAAGGCAUACAUGCACGGUUAUCAACGAUUUAUUUAGUCUCCAAUUUGACUUUGAUGAGGUGUUCAUUGCAAUCCGGGUAGGUGCCGGUACGAAAGAAAGAUGGAUCGUGCGCUACUAAUUAAGGUUGCACCCUAAAUAGAAUUUAAAAAAAUUAACAUGUAUAAUAACAUCAUAUUCAUAUUCUACACAUUUUUCUAAUCAAAUUUCAUAUAUAACAUGUUAAAAUUGGAGUUAGAAAAAAUAUGGGUAUUUAAAAAAAUAUUAUUUAUUCUAGAUGGACUGCAGCUUAAUUAUAGAAACAGCAAGGGGUUUUCUACUAAAACAUAAAAAACGAUUCAUUUUCUGGGAGUGCGGGUUAUUUAGCAAAAAAGGGAGGGGUUUCAUUUGAAACAGUAAAAGUCGGUUCGUUUUCUCACUUAAAUGUGGAUGCGGGUUAAUUACCUGAAAACAGAGGGGUUUUUUGUAAAAAUGCUGAUGGUGAACGGGCAGAAGCAAUCGAUACUUUAUUAAUAGGUAUAGAUAUUGAUUAUUUUCUUAAAAUUUUCAAUUCUUUUGUUUUUCCUUAAUUUUUUAGAUUUUUUUUCAAUCUGAAAAAACAAAAGGCAUGAAGGCUCACCAAGACCAAAAGCAAUGCUGGCCGGCAUGCGGCAGGGCCGUGUCGGGCCAAUCCCCGUGGCCAGGUCUUUGGGCCGGCAUGCCACGGCCCUUUUAUAAAAGGGUUGACAUGGGCUAUGCUAGGCCUUUUUAGAGUCGAGUCGAGUCGGGCCGGGCCGGGCUGGGCCGUUCCCUGUGAUCAAAUUUUCUCGGUAUCCUGGACCUUUGAUGGGCUUCCCUGCCCCUUUUCCCCCCAAAGCCCGAAAUAUUUUUUUCGUCGUCGUUCUUGGUCACAUUUUUUAUUGUUGCCCGAAGGCAUAAGGAGUCACGGAGUUUCAAAUUGAACAAAAUCACCAUAGUCACCUCGUCAUCAUCAGAAGUCGCUAGCUAGAAUCUGUUUGAUGGAUGGUUUCAUCACAUGUCACUAUACAAAAGAAUGAAAAAAUGGAGGAAUAGUCAAGUUGAAGGAAGAGAGGUGGUGCUGUGAGACUUGCCCUUGUGGCGAUUGGCUCUUGUUGACUCUCCCUUUCCCGAGGGCUCCUCCACCCCCUUCACCGUUGGCCUCUCUCUCUCUUGUUUCUUCGGCGAUCGAGGAUGGAGAGAGUGGUCUGGUUCUUAUAGUGUGUUAUGUAGGUCGUCUUUCUUAUUGAAUAACUAGAUAUGUUGUGUGAUGUCGUCCUUAAAGCGGUCUUGACUGUGGCCACGGAGGUUGGGUUGGUGACCGACCAGUGUGGGACACUUGGUUGGAUCUGACACACUGGUUAAGGUUUCGCUGAUGUGGUUCCUAAUCUGGAGGAAUGCGUGCAUCUUUUGCUUUUUUUAGGAAUAAACUUUCUGAUCUAUUCAUCAAAUGUCAAGGUAGUACAAAGAACAUCAGAAGUAAAAAUUACAUACAGGUCUGUAUACCACAUAACGACGACUAUAAGCAUUGGAGUGAGACGAAGGUGCAUUGUCGUCGUCAUCCCUCCAUCACCGAAGCUAGGCAAACCUUGGUAUAGUAUACAGUCGGGAGGUCAUCGUGCUAAGACCCUAGAGGACCAGCGCACCAGAACAACAACAGUCGCCGAUGAAGAGAAGUGUAGAUCGAAAGGAUCUAACCUGUGGACACACGAACAUAGACGAACGGAGACUGGAUCCAAGUGGAUCCACAUAAGACAAAUGUCGACCGAAUCUCAUGAGAUCCGCUAGAGAUAAACCUCCGCAUGCCCUCUGACGACACGAGAAGCACCACUGUUACAUCUUCAGGAAGCCGCCUGUUACAAAUGGAUGGGGAUGAGGAUGAUGAUCAAGCCCUUUUAACGUACCGUAGCAACGCCGAAGUCCUUGGAUUGAUUCUCCCUUCGGAUGCCCUCCGAAGGCUAGGGUUAUGAGAUAUGUAUGUGUUUUUGGUGGUUUUGUGCGUCUAUUCUCGAUCCGACUCUAUGGGGUGGAACCGUGGAAGUAGUGGACGAGGAGGCGGUUUUGGCGUGUCAUACGACCACGCAUACGAGCUCGUGCGCUCAUAUGCUAGGACGUCUUGCGCUUUGGACCAGCCACAGUGCCUCCUUCUUUCUCCCUUCGCUUUAUUCAUGUUGUUAAUUAUCACAUUCAUUAACAUGAUUCCACCAUAAUUUCCUAGAGUUCCUUCCAAUAGGUUUAUUUAUUCUAAAAGACAUUUCCUGGAAAACCGAUGCAAAGCAACGCACGGAAGCAGUAAAAUUCCACAAAGCCUACCAUGCAGGCACAAAAUAACUAUUAAUAUUAUCAUAUAUUUUGGACUCAUCAGCCGCGGGUGUAGAGGAUGAUGCGGCUGCUAUCCCCCAAGCCCCAGCCCCCCCCCCCCUCGGAGUAGCUGCUACUGCUGAUGCAUCACCGUGGCGGCGGCAACAAACGAGGAUGUGGAUGAUGAUAAUGCAGACGGCGGUGCUCAUGAUGUGACUAGCACGCGCAUGCUACGUGUCAUUGGGGCAGACUAUAUACAGCUAGUCAUAGGUCUUCGCGGCCGUCUUCACCACGUAGCCCAUAGAAUUUCACACGCUAUUGAUAGUGAUUUUUGACAUAGUAGUGGCACUGACACAAGCAUUGUUGUGAGUUGUCUUGUUGGAUUGCUAGGUAGUAGUGUCGAUGGUAGAUGUAUAGUGACAAACAUUUCUCACGUGUUUUUUGAAGAUAAAGGCGGACACUGACUAUUUGUAUUAAACUUUUAUAUUUUCCUAAUAUAUCAAACCACAAUUUUAAGUUCUUAACUAGCAUAUUUUUAUUGUUUUGUUAGCAUAACUAAACACACGACAGUGAUGCUAAGUGUUAAUAUUUAUAUUACUUGUUAUACAGUUCGAAUAUACAUCAUUGAAUAACACACUUGCGUAGCACAAAUUACAAAAGUGUACAUUUGGCAACAAAGUUAUGCUAGUUUUUUUCAAGGCAUUGAUCUUUAGUUAAACGCAAUCCAUGGAUUUGAUUAAACAAAAAGGAAUAAAAUCACAUAUCUCUCUGAACUAAUUUGUGUCAAUUGCAUUCAUUAUAUUAUGCUAUAUUUCAGUGUGUAUGUACUCACAUAUAUUUGUGGAUGCUUAAAUAUCUUGGGUAUAGAUCCUAAAGUGUAUGGUUUAUCAAUAAAUGUUGAUAGUGGUUCAUUGUGUAAAUUAGUUACAAGGAAAUUGAAAGUUCUAGAAAAAAUAAGGUGUUUAUAAAGAGCGUGAUGUCUAAUAGUUGUCAUUGCUGUUUUAUCGAGUUCUUUUUUCUACUAAAAUGUUUCUCACGUCCAGGUGAGUUCAAUAAUGUGAUCUUUUCUAAGUGAUAAAAUCGGCUCCAGAUUGGAUGGCUCUCAGUUCUCCGCAUCAUGUGAACUAGAACACCACAUGUAGAAAUAUAAAUCACAAAAGAAAAAAAGAAAAAUUUAAAGUCAGAGACACCCAAGGAGAAGAAGCCCUAAAGAAAGAUGUAAGCCCACUGAUGACGACCGGCCAAGGUAGCCUCUCACCAUGGAUCAAGUGCAUGGACCAAAUAAGACUGAAACAACCUUACUUUUCUUUAUAUUUAGGGAAAUUUUAGGUGUUUUUAGAAUAGACGUCUUUGCCCUUGCUUUUCGCUCCGGCAAUGUUAGUGGGGAUUCGUGCAAGGCCAAGUGCCUAUAAAAUGAAUCACAUGGUUCACUUGUAAGUGAUCACUCAUUUUGAAAUCAAAGUGCUCUCAUAAGAUGUGAAAUAUAAGGUUUCUUGACAGAGUCCACUUAGACGAUCGUAGUUAAUUGAAUUUUCACCAAGCUCCAAACUUGGAAUGGAAUGUUCAAGAGGAAAGCUUGCCUUGUGUUUGACAUAGUGGCCGAUGACAUAUCGCCGAAUAUCUGAGUGUACUCGAGGUACAAUUCUCAAAUUGAUUACACCUUUCUCAUCUGGGAGUCGCGGGCGAACCUACUAGUUAAAAACCACCGUUGCCAAUUAUCGCGAGUAUACAUCAACCUGUUCCGCAGCCCCAAUAUACGCGGGUUAUUGCCAUUGCUGAUUGUGCUGGUUCGUACCAUCUUAGCAUGUCGAUCCAAUCAAUGACUAAUAAAAAUGACCUUGAAAGUUUACCCUACUGGUAAAAGAUUAUUCAGUCAUGGUGGUCGCGACGUCAAUAUGGAACCUGUUAUUCACAAUUCUAUUUCUUGCGCUAACUAAAUUCCUAAUUGCUAGACAUCCAUCGUCAGCUAUUUUUCCAUGAAAUCCUAGCCCCAGCUACUUCGACCAUCCAAUGCUCAUUGUGAUUCACACCAUUUUUUGGGAAGAGAAUGUGGUUCACGCUGUUUUUUAGAGAACGGGAGAGUUUUAUUGUUUAGUUAUGUUUACGAGGAUACAAGUGGGGUCAGGAGGCCCCGAUAACCAAACAUGCAUGUCUAUCUUCACUAAAGGAACAUAGAGAACUUUGCUAAAGCAUGCACAUCCCUAUUAACCUCUAUUCGCUCAUGGUCAAAGAUGACUAACCGGCCAGAGCAUAUCCUUUCAAUUAUCAGUUUCCUUCAGAAUCGAGCCGUAGCUGGUGAGCCUAUUUCCCGGGUGCAGAUUCUCAAAUUCAAGCACUCUGAGACCGGUUGGAUGUUAUUCACUAAAGACAUAUAUAGCUUCACAUAUUGAUGCGGCUUCCAAUAUUUCCAGAGAUAUUAUGCCCUCAAUCACUUUGGCUAAGGCAGCCAUUAUAUUCUCACCUCGGCACACCGCUGCAGAAGUGCUACAAUUUCCAUUCAUCCCAGCAUCUUCAUAGUGAUUUUGGGUGAUUUUCAUCGGGUAAGAACAUUUAUUACGUAGUCCGUUUCCUAUACACGAAGUUGCAGUCGCAUUGAAGACAUGCAGUUGCAAUGGGGACGACAUUUUCAGUUGUGUGCCUAGUGGCACACAUGCAACUACCCCCUUCCCCCGACAAAGCAUCACAAAGUUAAAGUUAGGGCCUAGUGACAGACAUGCAACCGCCCCUUCCCCGUCAAAAAUAUGUCAGGAUGGAAAAUCACGUUGAAGACACGCGACACUUGCAGUUGCAUGCCUAGUGACAAGUACCCCUCCAGACAAAACAUCACAGAGUUGUAGUUGGGACACGACACUUACAGUUGUGUGCCUAAUUAUAGACACGCAACUGCCCCCUCCCUCGACAAAACACCACCGAAUUGCAGUAGGGGCACAACACUUACAGUUGUGUGCCUAAUGGUAGACAUGCAACUGUACCAUCUUUGGGCAAAACACCACAGAGUUGCAUCGAGGCACAACACUUACGGUUGUGUGCUUAGUGAUGGACAUACAACUGCCCCCGCCAUCGCCAUUGACAAAAGAUCACUAAGUUAUAGUCACAUUGAAGAUAUAAAAUUGCAAUCGAGUGCGAUUGUGCAACCGCAUGGCAAUAUUUUAAAUUUUCAAUAAAUAUAAAAAUAUAUUGUUAAUAAAAAAUAAGAAUCAAAAAGUGUAGCAAUAAUCGCAAAAAAGUUUUGAAAGAGAAAAUUAAAAUUAGAAACAAGAAAAUGGUGAAAAUAUAAAAUGACACAUACAUUUAAAACACUCACAAGAAAAUAAAAAAAAGUUUAGAAGGAUACAAGGUAGCUGCCCCCGAACUUACAUACAUCUCUCUGGACCGCAAUUAUAUCUUGCUUAUAGCGAGGCCCCCACAUGUAUAUACCAGGCUGGCAUUUUUUUCAUCUUUUUUUUUCUCGUUUGCCGGUUUUGUUCUCAAGGUUUCAUUCGCUAUUGUUUUCUUUCUAUUUCUUCACUGGUUUCCUAGUUUUUCUAUUUUUCUUUGUUUUUUCAUCGGUGUUCAUCGUUUCGUUCCUGUUUUAAUAAUUUUUUUAUUUUUUAUUUUCCUCUGUUUUAGCAGGUUUUCUUUCUUUCUUUAUUUCUUUCUAUUAACUAGUUUUCUUUUUUUUCUCCAUUUCCGUUCUGUUUUCUAUGGUAUGUUUUUGUUUUCUUGUCGGUUUUCAUUGGUUUGUUAACACAUGUCUACUUUACGUCUAAUUUUCUUCAGUACACAAUGUACAUUUUUAGUGUACACGUAAAACAUGUUUUGAUACACGAUGAACUUUUUCAAUGCAUGAUGUGCAUCUUUAUUUUAAUACAGAUUUUAAUCAUUUUUAAUGCAUGGUUAAUAUUUUUUCAAAUACGAAAAACGUUAAUUUUUACGGUGAUAAACAUUCUUUUAUUGCACUAACAUUUUUCUUCACAUUUCUUUACAUUUUUCUAAAACUGCGCAAACAUUUCUUUACAUUGUAUAAAUACUUUUUUCUAAAAUGUGAGAAGCUUUCUUCAAAAUUUCAUGCACAUAUUUUUAGUGGUAUAAAUCAAUUUUUGUACUACACAGAACCUUUUUCACAUUUUCCAAAAGUUUCAUACAUUUGCCUGGAAUGUUGGAACAUUUUUCGGUGCUAUCAACACUUUCUUUAAUUGCACUAACAUUUUUUAUACGGUAUUAACAUUUUUCAUAUUCAUUAAUAUUUUUUCUUUUUAUAUUUAAUUAAGUAAUUUAUAUAAGUAGGGCACAUGUAAACAGACCCUUGUUUGAAUGAGCAUGCAUGGCACGUUGUGCAGAGGCUGACACGACUCCCAUCGUCUCAAAAUACUUAUCUUAGAUUUGUCUAGAUACAUACAGAUAUAUCUAAUAUUAAAAGUUAUUGAUACAUCAUUUAAACAAAUCUAAAACAAAAAAUUUGGUAUAAAUUGAAGACAAGAAUUUUGGAAAUCCCUCUUAGAUACAGAUGUACCUAAACGUUGUAUCUGUAUUUAGAUAAAUCUAAAACAAGAAUUUUGGUAGAUAAAUCUAAAACAAAAAUUUUGGUAUCUGUAUUUAAAUAAAUCUAAGACAAGAAUUUUGAAGCAGCUUCUAGACCCUGUAGCCCGGGCCGGCCGUGUCCUGUCCUCGCAGGAGGAAAAGACUACCAUCAUCGGUCUGCAUAUGGGACGUGCGGCCACAGAUUGGAGAAGAAUUUGAUAUUGUAUACUAUCAAACGGGAAAACAAACGGGUGCCCAUUCGCCGAGUACGUAGCAGCUGUACGCACGGCACGGCACUUCACUGCACAAUACACAUCGAUGCUACUAUGUAUCCACAGUAUAUAUGUACUGAGCAAGCAGCUAAAAGUAGCUUCUGCAGAAAGAACACACACGGUUGCACUUGCAAUUGGGCACAACACAACACAAACGGAUUUGUAGAGUAGUAGUACUAAAUUAAACAAGUGCAGCCAUUCAUCCACACCCAGACAUGCAUUGCAAUUGUCUGGUCGGAGAAUGAAGAAGCAUAGCAUGGACUGAUCGAUCUCCAUCUUGAUCUCGGACUACAUAAUAAACACAAAACACACUAAGAAGAAGGGCCCAUCCUGCAGCACUACACAUGUACGCACGCACGCCGUCACUACAUGCCUACCGUGCACACCAUGUCUGCAUACAACGUACGCUCACACCAUACGGGACGGAACACACACACACACACACACACACAUACAUACACCUUAUUAUCCGCCCGUCACUGUCUACCGCCAAGCGAUGGAGCACGGUGCCGGUGUCUCUACCCGAUUCAGACCCUGGCUACGCCGCCGGUGCCCAUGCCCUUGUUGUGCGGGUCGCCGCCUGCGCCGUACGCAUGCUCCGCCGGGUACCCGCCAGCAUGGUUGCCACCCAACUGGUUCCCGAAGAGGCCGGAGUGCAGCGCCAGCACGUAAAGCAGCUGCGUGAAGGCCAGGAUAAUGACGAACGCCUCCAGCACCCUGAGGCGCCACCCGCGGUACCCGCCGAUGUGGAUCUCCUUGCACGCCAGCCCGAACGCCAAGGCGGUGAUGGCCCAUGCCACGAGCGAGGACGAGGCGGAGGUGGCGAGGCUGUCGCCGCGCCAUGUGCGGACGUGGUGCACGCCGGCGAGCUUGGAUGCGGCGCCGACGACGCCCGCGAGGAUGGCAAAGACGAGGAAGUAGAAGGUGGCUCCGUUGCCGCCGACGCCGGGGCGGUUGGUGAGGCCGUUGAUGAAGUGGUUGAGGUUCCAGCUUGCGAAGCCGAUGACAAUGAGGUACAUGAUGAGGUUCAGCACCAGCAGCGGCGCCACCAUGUUACGACCCACGCCCGCCAUUGCUACUGCCUGUUGCUAUGCUAGCUAGCUUCCUCUCCUUGGUCGAGAUCGAGAUGGAGAUGGAGCUCUCGCACUCAGUGGAUUGGCUUUGGUGGACUGAUGGUUAGAUUAGCUAACGACGUAGCGAGGAGAUUGAGGGCAAGAGCAAGAGGAAGAAUCGAAUGGAGAAAGUGAUUAUUUCUGGAUGAGGUGGUCGAGUGGAGUGUAGUCGGAUUAUAUAUAGAUAGGUGUGGUGCUAGAGGGCGCGUGUGAGGGGACACGCGUGAUGCGCCGCUUACAGGUGGGAGGACACGUGCCGCAUGGGCUUUACACGUACGGUAGUUGCUUCCAGUAGCCGUUGGCAGCCUACUGGUGGUUCCGCUUGGCGAGAAGCGUUCCUGGCCACUAGAUAUAGACGGUCUAUCUAUCAACCGAAUCAGCUCACGUCGUGGGUACACUUUGCUUCGGUGUCUUUCUUUUUAGUAACAGGAGACGGUCCGAUGGAUCCAGAAACAUCUUUUUUUAAGAACAAAGGCUUUUGAAGGGUCCGACUUUGAAUUACUGGCUCAUGGGCUUUGUAUUAACAAAGUCAUCAACCGGCUAGGAGUACAACGGCCAAACGAGUACAACGAGGAUCACCGUAAAGCAAACACAAACUGCAUCCUCCAUAAGCAGCUAAAGAAAUGAAUAUACAGAUUACAAUUUGCUAGAGGCUGAGCACUUCACACUAGCUAGGAUCAUAGAAAUCAAGGACGGAGCUGCAGAGCGGGACAUAGCCACCGUCGAAAAUGGACCUUGCACCAAGAACACCCGUGGGGGGAGCGGACACGGCAUCUUCCUGCUUUGUCACUGAAGAGGGACCCUACCCCCUCGCCAUGGCUCGAGGAGCCGUACCGUCGGGAUUCCAAGAAGCUCACUCAAGACCAAAAGAAUGCUGCGCUCGCAACGACAGGUGAACAUUGCGCGACCACCUCGAAUUGGGAAAUUCCGUGCUUGCAACUUUGCCACAGUCCACGCCCAACUAGUUGGAGGAAGGGAACUUCAUGGAUUCGGACGCCGAAGGGGAGGCAGCAGGGAACCGAGCUAAGGCAAGAUGCAAGGUAAACAGAGCACCAUCUUUGCGAAGACCCGGGUGUCUCCGGUUUUUGUCACGCCACUGCCACCGGGAAAGGGAACCAUAUCCCCUUCUGUCGGGGUCGAGACGUCGCACCGCCGGGACUGAGUGACGCAAACUGCCACUGGAGAGGCACCAACCUAUAGAUACCUUGGUGCCUACCACCCGCAGCACACCGCCCCGGCUCGAAACGCAAGCAAACAUCAGCCCCUCAACCCGCAGAACCUCCCAUCCGAGCCCCUUCGCCCUGACGAUGCCUCCAGGAAGGUCACGACGUGUACGGCGGCGCCGCCGCCAAAUCUGAAGUGGGUUGACGGUUUUCACCCGGGCAGGGGGUCAGGGUGGACAGCUGGGAACCUCAGCCAUGCCUCCAUGGAGGAAAGUGGCGCCCUUGGGCGUCGUCGCCGCCGGGCCGGACUGGCCAAGGUUUUCCCCGGGCCCCAAGUAGACCACUAGCACGCACCAUCCUGGAGCCGGCAAACAUGCAAGCCACACGAACGGCGUGAGAGAGGCAGCAGGAUAGAGUGGAGACGAACCUCCAGAUCUGACGUAGAAAGAGCUCCGCGCCGCGACCGUACUCCACCAGCGACCUGAUACGUCCAUUUUACACAGUGUUAUCCUACUGUUAUUUAUAAUGUUUUGGUCAUUAUUUCACUUUAUGAUACAAUUUUAAUACCUUUUCUCUUUAAUUUGCAAGAUCUACAUGCAGAGGGAAUUUGCCGGCAGCUGAAAUUUUAAACCUAAAAGAGCUACAAUAGAUAUAGCUAUUCUACGAAGCUUCACAUGGCCUGAAACUUUACGGAGAUUUUUAUUAAAUAUAUAAAAAUACCGAAACGAAGAAAUACCAGAGGGGGGCCACCUGCUGCCCAGAAGGCAGCAUGGCACGCCAUACCCCCUAGAUGCGCCCUGAUGCCUUGUGAGGCCCGCAACUGUCCUCUGGCCUCCUCUUUCUACAAUAUGAAGCCAUUUUCCCUAAAAUGAGCUUGCAUGUUGGUUUUACUUGGUUAGAAGUAUUUUUGAUGCAUGGUUUAGUCUCUAGAUACUUAUGGGAGUAGUUGCUAUCAAUUUCAUUGAUUGUUGUUCACUUUUUAUGAGCUGUCUAAAUUUUUAGAAAAAAAAGGAGAUGUUGAGGAGAGUGUUCUCAAGAGGCUUCAAGCCAGAUUUCCGAGGGAACUUUUGCGAGAAACACCUAGGUGCAAUCUUCCUUGUAAUGCCAAGGUACGGUCGUGUGAGUGGUCGUGCAAUACCUUCAUGGUUGGGGUUGGUUUCCACAUGAGUUUGAGCAAUACGUGGAGAAUGCGGGUUUGAACACCUUCGCUGAAGAUAAGUGCAACCAAUACCAGCUCCUUAUGAAUACUUUUGUGCAAAAUUUCAGAUUCUCAACUAGACAACAUGAGCCUAGUGUUUUAUUUCAUCUUUAUGAUCUAAUCUUCAAGAUAUAUUUGGUCGAAUUUUAUUAAUGUGUGCAUGAUUCCUGUUGAGGACAGGAUAGGUGAAUCUCGACCGGUGUCGUGGUUCUAAGUCUGACAGUAGAAUGGGGGGUAGGGAUGUAGAUGCAAGAUCCUAGCUAUGGAGAAGUUGUACGCACAAGCUUUACGAGUUCAGGCCCUUCUCGAAGGAAGUAACAACCCUACGUCUCGAAGCCCGGAGGCGGUCGACUGGAUUAUAUGCGUGUGUGUUACAGGGGGUGCGAACCCUUGUCCCAGAGGAGGGGGGUGGCUUAUAUAGAGUGCGCCAGGAACCCAGCUCCCCUCCGUUACACAGGGUUCAAUGUUCAUAAAGAAGGAGCGUUACAGGUAACGUCCGUAGUAAAGUGCUAUAAAUGACUAUUAAGUCUAAGGGUAAAUGCCCGACCGUUGCUGCGCGGAGUGGCUUUAGGUCUUCUGCACGUCGAGUGGUUUAGUGGUCGAGUGACCUAAAUAAGGGGGGGUCUCCGAGUGAAUGGUAGGUCGAGUGGAUUGCACUCGACACCUUUGUUGGGUCCCCUCUAUUUACUCUUGAACCUCUUUGCUUCUAGGACAAGGACCUUAGGUAGGACGCAUAGGUCAGGCCUAUUACCCUACCCCAGGUCUAUGUCCUCAUCAUUAGCCCCCGAAUGGAUUGAGGCCCGAGUGAAAAGAAGGUUGAAGUUGACCUUGCUUUGACUCUUGCUGUCAUCUCCAAAUGGAUGCCAGUUGUUGGAACUUCGGCUUCGUUUCAGUCGCCUUGAUCGAUUCAGAAAUGGCCGACUGGUUUUUAUAACGUCAUCCGUUGAGUGUUAUCCUUGACAUGAAAUCUUUGGCGUGAUCGGUUGUAGAGGAUCCCGGAUUUCGCGGGAUUCAAAAUUUUGGUGGAAGCGCGCCAGGCGAAGCGCGCCGUGGUAAGCGGAGUAGAUAAAAUAGGAUGUUUCGAUUUCCGCGCCACCUUUUUCGCCACGUAUCCCGUGUGCGACUGUUAAGGGAUUUGACAGGAUCAUUCGGGCCCACGCGCCAGCCACUCGGAAGUAGGCCUUUAAAAGUGGCGAGGCCGAGGCGUCCGCACUGUGCGUGCCCAUUCUCCUUCUUCUUCCUCUUGCUCCUUUACCUCGUUCAGCUUCUCCACUCUCGACGCCGCCGCUCCGCCGCCAUGGGGAAGGAGAAAACGGCGGCGCUGGAACGCGCGAAGAAGGCGACGGGGGCGGCGAAAAGCAAGAAGACGAAUCGGGGAUCUUCAUCGCGCUCGGGGCUGCCGUCGGGUUGGAUCCAGGGAGAUUGGAUCCGAUCCUCACUUCGGCAGGAAGACUUGGACGAUAUGGCCGAGUUAGGGCUGAUCGUCCAUGAGUCCGCGCGGCUGCCGGAGGGGGAAACGGAGCCACAGCCGCGACCGGGUGAGUGUGUUCUGCUCGCUACUCAUGCCGACCGCGGCUUCUCGCUUCCUCCACACCCCUUCUUUCGAGGUUUCUUGAAUUUCUUCGGGGCUCAACUCCAUCAUUUCACUCCCAACACCAUCACAUACCUUGCCUCAUUCGUGUCCAUGUGCGAGAAUUUCCUGGGGUGUCGACCGCACUGGGGUCUUUUCAAGCACAUUUUCACCAUCCGCUCCCAAACAGUGAAGAAAGCGAACUCGAACGACGAGAAAACCCAUGUUAUCCAGAUGUGUGGGGGUCUGGGUGUUCAGAAGAGGAAGAGGAGUUCCUUCCCUUCGAUGACUCUUCCUGAGUCGGUCAGGGGCUGGCAGUCGACCUGGUUCUAUUGCCAGGAUAUCAUGACCCCAGGCCAGUCGACUGGACUCCCCCCUUUCUCUUUUGAUCGUGUUCAAACUCCAUCUUCGUUGAAAGUGACCGCUGCGGAGAAGGCGGAGACGGGCAUGCUGGUCGAGAGAGUAGUUCAACUGAUCAAUCAAGGUGUCACCGGCAUGGAUCUGCUGGAGGUGUUCCUCAGUCGGCGCAUUCAACCACUCCAAGCUCGUGACCACUCCAUGUGGAUGUACUCCGGGGCUGGUGAUACCGCUCGGGUUCAUCCGGAGGAGGUGGCGGCCAAAACAGUGGCCCAGUGGCUGAGGGGCAUCACCGGGAACAAGGACAACCCUAGGGGCGCCAGGAGAGUCAACCCUUUCAGCGACAACAACCAGCCAGACAAGGUUUGGCCACUACAACUAAUUGAAUUUGGAUGUGUUUUCUGACUGUUUGUUGAUCCGACUGAUUUCCAGUCGGCUCCUUGUUUUGUAGAUAUAUACAGAGAUGUACUCAAUGCCCAAUGGCGAACAAGCUCUGGAGCAGGACCAUGAAGGCGAGGACAGCGCGGAGGAGAGCGGCGAGUGGGAGUCACCAGCCGACGAUGAUGAAGAUGAGAGCGAUGAGUCGGACGACGAGGAGGUAGCUGACUCACCACCUCGUUCUGAACGUCGAUCCAAGCAGCACCAUGAUCCCGCGGGCAGGCGCGGCAAGGCUGUGGCCUCGAGCGCUCCAUCUCAAAAGCGCGCUCGAUCUUCGACUCCAGAAUUGGCUGAGAAGGUCACCAAGCAGCCCAAGAUCAAUCAUUCGAAGGCUCGGAAGACCUUGCCUAGAAUCAGGAUGGACGUUCCUGUUGCUUCUGGGUAAAUGUUAUCCCGUAUUUUCUUGUUCUGACCGAUUCUCUUGUACUGACCGAGUGGAUGAUGAACCUUUACAGCCCGGCCUCGGCUGCGACUGAUAUGGAUAUCGACAAGACCCCAGACGACGAGGAAACCGACGACGCAGCUACCUCCAAAGCUAGUAAGUCCGCCUGACUCGAAUUUAUUUGGACGACUGGAUUGUUUGUCAGCUAUCUCUUUGACUUUCUCUGUUUGUUGCAGCACCACGGGACGUUGUUGUGCUCCCGGACGAUGAAGAAGAAGUACCGCUGAGGGGAAGGAGGAGGAGGGACAAGGAACUGAGCGGGAAAGCGCCUGAGGCCCAGGUUCCUCAGUCGACUGAGAUGCCUGGGACGACAGUCGAGUGAUCGACAGAUCCGGCACGUACCAAUGUCACUUUCGCUAUCCCGCUGUCGACUGAUUGCCCAUCAGGAUCAGCUGCUCAGACCUCUGCUGCACCAAUACAACUCCAUGCAUCAGACCCAGCGGUUGCUCCGACUGCUCUGUCAUCAUCGCUUUUCACUGCGUAUCAAACCCCGGACGACCCACCGACUGCCGCCAAGGAAGCUCUUCUUCAGUUGAACCUUGUGAUGGGGCAAAUGAAAGUGGUGCACGAGACCAGUCAGGUGGCCUUCAAUGCCGGAGCUGCUCUGCAGACCAAUGUCCAGGUUAGUUGAUUUCUGAUUGAUCAUAUUUCUCAUCCAAUCACCCACUGGGGUGUGACUAUCUUGAUGUUGCACGAGUCAAUUUGAGUCGUCUUGAAUUGAAUCUUUGAACUAGUGGGGGCACUCUUAGUGCACCCACUGGGUGUAGUCCCCGAGACCAUAGUUGACUGCGGGCAGUCGACUGUGGUCUGAGAAUCUGAAUUUUGUCACUCGGUCUGGACUGGCCAGGUCGAAUGACACCAGAACCAGUGGGGGCAUGCUAUGUGCACCCACUGGGUGUAGUCCCCGAGACCGUGGUUGACUGCGGGCAGUCGACUAUGGUUUGAGAACUGUUUUUUUACUCUCGCGCUGGGCAGACCAUGUCGAGUGUUUAUUCAAACCAGUGGGGGCACGCUAAGUGCACCCACUGGGUGUAGUCCCUGAGACUGUCGUUGAAUGUUUGAUUCGGCGGUAGUCUUAGAGUAGCUAUCACUGUGAUGUCUUUUUAUCUCGAUCAACUGACAUGGCUUAUACUGCAGAAAUCUUGUGAUCUUGGGGCUCAGCUUUCCACAAUGAACAAGCAGCAAAUCAGUCUCAACCUUGAUCUGGAAUUGGCCAAGAAGAAUCUCAAGACUGCUCGUGAUGAAGUAGCUGCCAUGGGAGGUAACCAAUCGUCAACUGUCUUUCUCACUGCUGGCCCUUUUCCUUUCCAUUUUUUGAACCGAGUGACUCCACUCGAGCAGAUGUAUGUAGUGAAAACCGUCAACUCCAAGCCCGUCUGAAGAAUGUUAUUUCUUUAGAGAAAAUGAAGCAGGCUUUGGAGAAGAAGGAUCUGGAUCUUGCUUCUGCACGGAAGGAAGCGCGAGCGAAAACGGCGCUUGCUGACAAGAAGCUUGCUUCAGUCGGCAAGUUAGAAGAGGAGAACUCCAAACUGAAGACUGCUGUCUCUGACGCCAAUCGGGAGGUCGAGCGACUGAAGAAAGACAAGGACAAGCUGACUGACGAGCUUGGGAGCCUCAAUGCCAAGAAGGGCGAGUUGGAGUCUUAUUUGGGCCAGCUUGCUGCAAAGCUGGUCCUAAAACUUGAAGGUACUGAUGAUUGACUGACUUAUUACGGUCGACUGUCAAGCUUGAUUAUAUCGUCGACUCACCAUUUACUCAACUGUGUAGAGCUUUUCCAAGACUUUGAAGCGGAAAUUGGGCGGGUCGAGACGGGUCUCGAUCCCAUAAAUUGUCCAGUCAAGGAUGAUGUUGCGAUGAAUGUGCUGCGGUUGGAAUCUCGCAUGGACAGCGCGGUUGCUUAUCUUGCCCGCCUAAAGGCAGCGAUGACUCGGGUUGAUACUGAACUCUGGCCUCAGGCGGAACUGUCUCAAGACCUCGAGUCUCUGAUGGCUCGACUGAAUCAAAUACCUGACCGAGUGCAAGAGUGGAAGAAGUCAUCUGCUCGCUGUGGCGCUGAUGUCGCGUUGUCCUUGGUCCGAGUGCACUGCAAAGACGUCAAAGAAGACAAGCUGGUGGAGCUCAAGGUUGCUAACACAAAGAGGCACACCUUCCAAUCCUUCAUGGACACUUUCCUUGACGCCGCCACUUGCAUUGCAGACAGCAUAGACCUUGACAGUUUGUGCGACCUAGCUAGUCCUUCUCCUGACGCGUGACCGAGAAACAUUAUGCUCCACCUUUAUUUGCCUCGGAAUGCCGAGUGAUUAUGUAAUCGUUAAACUUCUUCGGGCUUGAUGCUCGAAUACUUUUGAUCCGUCGUCCGGAACUUUAGGAUUUAUCUGAACUUGGUUUAUCUCUGAAUAUGCUUGUGUUUGCCUUCGAGUGGAAUUCGCUUUUCAAUUGGAAUAAUCUUUGUACUUGAGAUGCAGCUAUUGUACUUAUGGCGCAGCUCCGAGGAGAAGGUUGCAGUCGACCUGCACCUCGCCGUCCUUGCAGAUAGGGAGGGAGCACACGUUGUACUUGUGGCGCAGCUCCGAAGGAGAAGGUCGCAGUCGACCUGCACCUCGUCGCCCUUGCGGAUAGGGAGGGAGCACACGUUGUACUUGUGGCGCAGCUCCGAAGGAGGAGGUUUCAGUCGACCUACACCUCGUCGUCCUUGCGGAUAGGGAUGGAGCGCACGUUGUACUUGUGGCGCAGCUCCNNNNNNNNNNNNNNNNNNNNNNNNNNNNNNNNNNNNNNNNNNNNNNNNNNNNNNNNNNNNNNNNNNNNNNNNNNNNNNNNNNNNNNNNNNNNNNNNNNNNNNNNNNNNNNNNNNNNNNNNNNNNNNNNNNNNNNNNNNNNNNNNNNNNNNNNNNNNNNNNNNNNNNNNNNNNNNNNNNNNNNNNNNNNNNNNNNNNNNNNNNNNNNNNNNNNNNNNNNNNNNNNNNNNNNNNNNNNNNNNNNNNNNNNNNNNNNNNNNNNNNNNNNNNNNNNNNNNNNNNNNNNNNNNNNNNNNNNNNNNNNNNNNNNNNNNNNNNNNNNNNNNNNNNNNNNNNNNNNNNNNNNNNNNNNNNNNNNNNNNNNNNNNNNNNNNNNNNNNNNNNNNNNNNNNNNNNNNNNNNNNNNNNNNNNNNNNNNNNNNNNNNNNNNNNNNNNNNNNNNNNNNNNNNNNNNNNNNNNNNNNNNNNNNNNNNNNNNUCGGCGUGUUUCGAACUUAGACGAGUACUGGACUACAGCUAAGCCCCCGAGUGAGAGGGUUGCCCACCACUCGGUAGAGUUUUUCAAACUUAGGCGAGUACUGGACUGCAGCUAAGCCCCCGAGUGGGAGGGUUGCUCACCACUCGGUAGGAUUUUUCAAACUUAGGCGAGUACUGGACUGCAGCUAAGCCUCCGAGUGGGAGGGUUGCUCACCACUCGGUAGGAUUUUUCAAACUUAGGCGAGUACUGNNNNNNNNNNNNNNNNNNNNNNNNNNNNNNNNNNNNNNNNNNNNNNNNNNNNNNNNNNNNNNNNNNNNNNNNNNNNNNNNNNNNNNNNNNNNNNNNNNNNNNNNNNNNNNNNNNNNNNNNNNNNNNNNNNNNNNNNNNNNNNNNNNNNNNNNNNNNNNNNNNNNNNNNNNNNNNNNNNNNNNNNNNNNNNNNNNNNNNNNNNNNNNNNNNNNNNNNNNNNNNNNNNNNNNNNNNNNNNNNNNNNNNNNNNNNNNNNNNNNNNNNNNNNNNNNNNNNNNNNNNNNNNNNNNNNNNNNNNNNNNNNNNNNNNNNNNNNNNNNNNNNNNNNNNNNNNNNNNNNNNNNNNNNNNNNNNNNNNNNNNNNNNNNNNNNNNNNNNNNNNNNNGAUUCGCGGCUAAGCCCCCGAGUGGGAGGGUUGCUCACCACUCGGUAGGAUUUUUCAAACUUAGGCGAGUACUGGACUGCAGCUAAGCCCCCGAGUGGGAGGGUUGCUCCUCACUCGGUCGGUUUUUUCAAACUUAGGCGAAACGGAUUCGCGGCUAAGCCCCCGAGUCGGAGGGUUGCUCACCACUCGGUAGGAUUUUUCAAACUUAGGCGAGUACUGGACUGCAGCUAAGCCCCCGAGUGGGAGGGUUGUUCACCACUCGGUAGGAUUUUUCAAACUUAGGCGAAACGGAUUCGCGGCUAAGCCCCCGAGUGGGAGGGUUGCUCACCACUCGGUAGGAUUUUUCAAACUUUAGGCGAAACGGAUUCGCGGCAAAGUCACCCACUUGGGGAUUUCAGACGCAAACAAAAGCAACAACAACCAUUUAGGAAGACUGUAAAGCUCUUGUCUUUGAUAAACAAACUACAAAGGUAUUUCUUAUUACAUCUCAUCUGAAUGAGUACUUAAGUAUAAAAGGGGCGGAGCAGCUCCGCGUUCCAAGCCCGUGGCUCGUCUUUCUGAUGCUCGACAUUGUAAAGAUGGUAUGCUCCAUUGUGGAGAACUCUGGUGACAAUGAAGGGACCUUCCCAAGCAGGGGCGAGCUUGUGUGGUUUCUGCUGAUCCACUCGAAGAACCAAGUCUCCCUCUUGAAAGGCUCGGCCCCUCACGUUUCUGGCGUGGAAUCGACGCAAGUCUUGCUGAUAAAUGGUUGACCGGAUUAAGGCCAUCUCUCUUUCCUCCUCUAGGAGAUCGACUGCGUCCUGCCGGGCCUGUUCUGCUUCGUCUUCAAAGAAGAGCUCGACUCGGGGUGCAUUGUGAAGCAAGUCACUCGGUAGAACAGCUUCAGCUCCAUAAACCAAGAAGAAUGGAGUUUGGCCAGUCGACCGAUUGGGAGUUGUCCUCAAUCCCCAAAGAACUGAUGGAAGUUCAUCGACCCAGGCGCCUGCUGCGUGCUUGAGAUCACACAUCAGUCGGGGUUUCAGUCCUUUGAGAAUCAAGCAAUUUGCUCUUUCUUCUUGUCCAUUCGACUGGGGGUGGGCGACUGAAGCAUAGUCGACUCGUGUGCCUUGGGAAGCAUAGAAGGCUCUGAACUCAUCAGAAUCGAAGUUCGACCCAUUGUCAGUGAUGAUGUUGUGCGGAACUCCAUAUCUGAAUGUCAAUUCUCUGAUGAAGCUGACGGCAGUACUGGCUUCAAGAUUCUUGAUAGGCUUGGCUUCAAUCCAUUUGGUAAACUUGUCGACUGCUACAAGCACAUGAGUGAAGCCGCUCCUACCAGUCCUCAGGGGUCCAACCAUAUCCAAUCCCCAAAUAGCAAAGGGCCAGACGAGUGGAAUAGUCUUCGGGGCUGACGCAGGCUUGUGGGACAUAUUGGAGUAAAACUGGCAGCCUUCACAUUUGUUGACUAUAUCUUUCGCCAUUUCAUUUGCUCGUGGCCAAUAAAAUCUAGCUCGGUAUGCUUUGGCCACAAUGGUCCGAGAGGACGCAUGGUGACCACAGGUCCCCAAGUGGAUGUCGUUGAGGAUCACCCGACCUUCUUCUGGUGUUAUGCAUUUCUGGCUGACUCCGGUUACGCUUUCCCUGAACAGUUGUCCUCUUAUCACAGUAAAGGCUUUGGAUCGACGGACGAUCUGUCGAGCCUCUUCUUCAUCCUCUGGGAGUUCCUUCCUAAGGAUAUACGCAAUGUAUGGCACUGUCCAGUCGGGAGUGAUGACCAAAACCUCCAUGAUCAGGUCGACCACGGCUGGGACUUCGACUUCAGUCGGAUCCGUGGCACUCUUAGGCUGCGGGGGCUCUUCAGUGAAAGGAUCUUCUUGAACUGAAGGUGUAUGAAUGUUUUCCAAAAACACGUUGCUGGGAAUGGCUUCCCUCUUGGAACCUAUCUUUGCCAAAUCAUCGGCUGCUUGAUUUUUCAGUCGGGGUAUAUGAUGGAGCUCUAACCUCUCAAACUUCUUUUCCAAUUUCCUCACCGCAUUGCAGUAACCAGUCAUAGCUGGGCUUCUGACGUCCCACUCCUUCAUCACUUGAUUGACUACCAAAUCUGAGUCGCCGUAGACCAUGAGGCGACGGACGCCGAGUGAGAUGGCCAUACGUAACCCAUAUAAGAGUGCUUCAUAUUCUGCUUCGUUAUUGGAGGAAUCAAAGUGAAUCUGGAGAACAUAUCUGAGCUUGUCUCCUCGGGGGGAUACCAGUACCACCCCAACACCGGAACCAUUCAGCAUCUUGGAACCAUCAAAGAACAUGGUCUAGUGCUCCGAGUGGACUUGAGUCGGCAGUUGCUGUUCGAUCCACUCGGCGAGGAAAUCUGCUAUUGCUUGGGACUUGAUAGCUUUCUUUGUCUCAAACUUAAUAUCCAAGGGAAGGAGUUCAAUCGCCCACUUUGCCACUCGACCAGUUGCAUCUCUGUUGUUCAGAAUCUCUGAUAAUGGAGCGUCGCUGACGACUAUAAUGGAGUGGUCAGAGAAAUAAUGUGCAACCUUCUUCGUGGUCAGAUAAAUCCCAUAAACAAGCUUCUGAUAAUGUGGAUAUCUUUGCUUUGAUGGAGUCAAAACUUCAGAAACAUAAUAUACUGGGCGCUGAACUUUACAGGCUUUUCCUUCUUCUUCCCGCUCGACCGUAAGUAUUGUACUGACGACUUGUCCAGUGGCUGCAAUGUAAAGCAGUAAAGGCUCUUUGCUGAUUGGGGCAGCAAGCACUGGCUGGGUGGAAAGCAGGGCUUUGAGCUCUGCAAAUUCUGCAUCAGCUUCAGGAGUCCACUCGAACUUAUCAGACUUCUUCAUCAGUCGGUAAAGAGGCAAUGCCUUUUCACCGAGGCGAGAAAUGAAUCGACUUAAGGCGGCCAAACAACCUGUAAGCUUCUGGACAUCGUGCACACGCAUAGGGCGUUUCAUUCGGAGAAUGGCACCAACUUUCUCUGGGUUAGCGUCGAUCCCUCGUUCGGAAAUGAGAAAACCGAGUAAUUUUCCGCCCGGAACUCCGAAUGUGCACUUUGAUGGAUUAAGCUUGAUAUCAUACCUUCUGAGGUUGGCAAAAGUUUCAGCAAGGUCAGCUAGCAGGUCGGAACCUUUACGUGACUUGACCACAAUGUCAUCCAUGUAUGCUUCCACAUUCCGACUGAUUUGAGUGAGUAAACACUUCUGAAUCAUCCUCAUGAAUGUGGCUCCAGCAUUCUUCAAGCCGAAUGGCAUGGUGACAUAACAGAAGCACCCAAAUGGGGUGAUGAAAGCUGUUUUAUCUCAUCAGGUCCGUACAGUCGGAUCUGAUGAUACCCGGAAUAAGCGUCCAAAAAGGACAAGCGCUCACACCCCGCAGUCGAGUCGACUAUUUGGUCGAUGCGGGGGAGAGGAAAGUGAUCUUUCGGGCAGGCCCGAUUGAUAUGCUUGAAGUCAAUGCACAUGCGAAGUGAGUCGUCCUUCUUGGGGACCAUGACAACAUUGGCUAGCCACCCGGAGUGGUAAAUCUCUCGGAUAAACUCAGCUGCUAGGAGCCGAGCCACUUCUUCACCGAUUGCUUUUCUCUUCUGUACGGCGGACCGUCGAAGAUGUUCUUUAACUGGUUUCACUUUUGGGUCGACUCGCAAACGGUGCUCAGCCAGCCCCCUGGGAACACCCGGCAUGUCAUAAGGUUUCCAUGCAAAGAUGUCCCAGUUCUCACGGAGGAACUGGAUGAGCGCUUCUUCCUAUUUGGAGUCGAGUGUUGUCAAAAUGUGAGUCGGAGCAGCAUGGGGAUCGGUCGGGUGAAUAUGAAUCGGCUUCGUUUCACCAGACGACUGAAAUGCUGAAUCCGUGGCAGGCUUCUUAGCUCGCAACAAAUCACUCGGAUCUGCAUUUUUUUGAUACUCCUGCAAUUCCACUACUGCCAUUUGCGCAUCGGCGAUCUUUGAGCCCUUCUGGAAGCACUCUUCUGCCUUCUUCCGAUUCCCAGUGAUAGUGAUCACUCCUUUAGGACCAGGCAUCUUCAAUUUGAGGUACACGUAGCAUGGUCGAGCCAUAAAACGUGCAUAAGCCGGCCUGCCCAGAAUAGCAUGAUAAGCACUCUGGAAAUCGACGACUUCAAACGUCAACUUUUCUUUGUGGUAAUUCUUGGAAUCACCGAAAACCACAUCGAGGGCGAUCUGGCCGAGUGACUCAGCCUUCUUGCCAGGAAUAACUCCAUGGAAACUCAUAUUGCUUUCACUGAGUCUGGACAUCGGAAUGCCCAUUCCUUUCAAGGUCUUCACAUACAGUAUAUUAAGGCCACUGCCACCAUCCAUCAGAACCUUAGUCAACCGAGUGCCUUUGACGACUGGGUCGACCACCAACGCUUGCCUCCCAGGGGUGGCUAUGUGUGUCGGGUGAUCAGACUGGUCGAAUGUAAUGGCAGUCUGAGACCACUUCAAAUAACUGGGCGUCGCUGGAGUGACCAUGUUCACUUCUCUGUUGAUGACUUUCAGUCGACUCUUGCUCUCAACAUCAGCAAAAAUCAUCAGAGUGGAAUUGACGUGGGGGUAACCAUCAUCGUCCUCUUCCUUAUCCUCAACUUUGUCCGAUUCUUUUUUCCUUUUCUUUGGGUUGUUUCUCUCGGAACUGCUGGAUUAGGAGCCGACAUUGUCGAGUGGUAUGUUUCGGGUAAAUGAGAUUACCCUCCUCAUCUUUUUUGGUGCGAAUGUGGCCUGGUAAAUCCAACACAUCAUUUCCAUCUUGAUCUUUUACUUUCUUGGGGUUCCAUGGCCCUUUGGGCUUCCCCUUGAACUUUCCUUGAGUCACGGCUAAGGCUUCUCCGGGAGUAGCUGGCUCGGCUUUGCGCUUCUGCUUCCGACUGGAGUUCCCUCCCCCGGUUUCGUGGGCGGCUGUUUUGUGCUUGCCACUCCGGAGCCGAUCCUCCUCUUCACCAUUAGCAUACUUGGUGGCAAUUUCCAUCAUUCGACUCAGAGACAUAUCUCCGGUCCGACCGAACUUCAUAUUCAAUUCUCGAUACUUGACGCCUUCCUUGAAGGCACAAACUGCUUGGUGAUCAGACACAUUCUCCACCGUGUGGUGCAACGUGAUCCAUCUCUAGAUAUAAUCUCUCAAAGUUUCAUUCGACUUCUACACACAAGACUGUAGCUCUGUUAGCCCUGCUGGCCAUUUGCAUGUACCUUCAAAUGUUCUGACAAACACUUGGGCAAGCUCUUCCCAGCUAUAAACACUGCCAGGUGCUAACUGAUUCAACCACGCUCUGGCCGAGCCCUCUAACAUCAGAGGAAGGUGCUUCAUGGCCACUUCAUCAUUGCCACCACCAAUCCGCACAGCCACUCGGUAGUCCACAAGCCAAGUGUCAGGCUUGGACUCACCAGUGAACUUGCUGACUCCAGUCGCCAACCUGAAGUUGGGAGGAAUCACUGCUGCUCUGAUGGCUCUGCUGAAACACUCGGGACCUGAGACAUGCACCCUGCUGCUGGUCGGGUAAUCUCUAUCGUGGCCAUCUCUGUGUGCCCUGUUCCUAUCAACCAGACCUUCAACCAGAAUGGAUCUCGCGUCAAAGCCCGGCUCCCGGGGGUCGGCUGGAAUCCUUCGCCCACCACUGUGAGGGCGUCUGUCAUCGUGUUGCCGAGGCGCGUAUGACCCACUCCUUGGGGGAGGCGUGGGUACUCGACGACGAUCAUACUGCUCAUGGUUUCUGUACUGAUCCUGUCGAUCUCCACGUCCCUCACGCCUUGGAGGUGAUCUUGGGCUGUGAGCCGACUGAACUGUGUCUGCCAUUACAGAUCUACUAUGAAUCCUAUUCCGAGAUUGUGACACUGCUGUGUUCUGCUCCCCCGCCGCCCGGAGCAAAGCCCGGAUCUGCAUCAAACCCUACCAGCCUUUGACUGGGAAGGCUGAAUCAACUCUGCUAUUCGGGCAGCAGCUGUGAGAUUCUGGAUCGGAGUUCGAUAUACCUGGGUUGGAGGCGGAAAAAGUUGCCGUCGACUGGACUCAGGAACUCGCUGCCGAGCAUGCUCGUCGAGUGCGUGCUGGAGGUUCUCCAGUCGAGUGCGCUCAGCCAAGUUGUCUAGGUGCACCUCCUCCAAGGCCCGGGCCUCGGGGGUUUCUCCAACGAUAGGAGUGUGAAGUGCGUCCAUGUUACGGUGGCGAAGCUCUUCCCUCUGCUGCGAAGAGAGGGGCUCGGGGCGGUACUCCUCGUGGACACGCGACGGAUCGCCUCCGCCAUCGCCACCGUCGUCACGGGGGAAGCCAGGAGGACUACGCGGUCCGUUGACCAUCAGGAUUUCCGCCGCGGGGUCACUGCUGUCGCACUCGGAUGCAGUCUCAACGGAGCUAGUCGACAGGUCGAAUAGGCCAUAGAGAGUUUCGUCGGGCUCGAUUGCCACGACUUGGGGGGUGGCCGACUGGCGAGCCACCGCGUGCCUCACCCACCGCUGGAGCCUCGACCGACCGGAACGCUUGUGCUGGUGGGCAGCAGGGAGUGAAGACGCCACAGGAGCCGACCGAUACUGGGUCGACGGUUGCCGCAGGAGGACGCCGCGGACGCACGCACGAAAGUGCGUUGCCCCGCGGACGGGGAGCGCCUCGACGUCGAGUGGAGCUUCUUGGAUCCAAGAGGAGUCGUCGACGACGAACACGAGCGCGCCGAGACGGAUCUCGCGGCCCUCGGCUAAUCCUCCGCCUGAAACCAUGCUGAUGGGGAUCGGAAAAAUUGCAACUUCUCCAACAAGUCGCUAAGACACCUGCCCCACGGUGGGCGCCAACUGUCGUGGUUCUAAGUCUGACAGUAGAAUGGGGGGUAGGGAUGUAGAGGCAAGAUCCUAGCUAUGGAGAAGUUGUACGCACAAGUUUUACGAGUUCAGGCCCUUCUCGGAGGAAGUAACAGCCCUACGUCUCGGAGCCGGGAGGCGGUCGAUUGGAUUAUAUGCGUGUGUGUUACCGAGGGCGCGAACCCUUGUCCCAGAGGAGGGGGGUGGCUUAUAUAGAGUGCGCGAGGACCCCAGCUCCCCUCCGUUACACAGGGUUCAAUGUUCAUAAAGAAGGAGCGUUACAGGUAACGUCCGUAGUAAAGUGCUAUAAAUGACUAUUAAUUCUAAGGGUAAAUGCCUGACCGUUGCUGCGCGGAGUGGCUUUAGGUCUUCUGCACGUCGAGUGGUUUAGUGGUCGAGUGACCCAAAUAAGGGGGGGUCUCCGAGUGAAUGGUAGGUCGAGUGGAUUGCACUCGACACCUUUGUUGGGUCCCCUCUAUUUACUCUUGAACCUCUUUGCUUCUAGGACAAGGACCUUAGAUAGGACGUAUAGGUCAGGCCUAUUACCCUACCCCAGGUCUAUGUCCUCAUCACCCAGUAAGUUUGAGGAAUUUUUACUGGAUAUAACUAUAAAAAAGUAGAGGGGUUUCUAAUGCUAGAGCCGCUAGCCCGCAUAUUCAUGUUGUGCGCUACUUUGCUUCAUAGGAAUAUGUUUGACCACUAAACAGGAGUGGUAUAAGUUUAGUGCUCCGGACCUCGCUAUCUUGCGAGGUGCACUCUUUGGUGGGAGAAGUCAUAGUUUGGGAUCGUUGCAUAUGAAAUUAUGAACAGGUCUAAGGGUAUUGCUUAUGAUGGUACUUAUUUUACUCGCCUGGUCUAAGCGUAUUGUUUAUGAUGUUAUUUAUACAGUUUUGCUAAAGCACAUCUAGAUGUGCCAUAAGUAUUGCACAUCUAAGUCAUAUAUCAUUGAUCUUAAGUGAAGAUUCGUGUGGGUAUUUUCUUUUCAUUUCUAUGCUUGCUUGUGUCACUUAGAUGUGCAAUACCUAAGGCACAUCUAGAUGUGCCCUAGACAAACCCUUAUUUAUAUUAUUCGCUAACAUUUUCAUUAGACAGAAUGAGUAUAUCUACUGUUCUGCCAGAGCGAUAAUCAGAUUAUGAUUCUAUGAAAGAAAUAAUUAAAACCACAAAUAUUCUAUUUUUCAUAAAAAGACAUAUUAAGAUCGUGAAGAUAUCAAUUACACGCAGCUCCAACAAUAAAAUGCCUGACAAUACACACAGCUGCAACAAUAAAAUGUCUGACAUAGGCACCAUAGAUGCACACAACCUUACUAAAGUAAAAACAAGAAAAAAAUACGUUGCGAUGAUCAGAACAAUGUAGCUGCAACACAAAAGGCAGCCCAAAGUUCAAUUUCUCAAUGUUGAGUAUAUUGAUUAUUAAAAAAGACGAGAUAGAUUAGAAUUUGUUCUGGUUUGUCUUGUACUCCAAAUAGAUCAUUGUACUUAUAUAUAUAUGCCCACGAGGACCAAUCCCUCUCUUUUCCUUCUAACAUGGUAUCAGUCUAAUCUCGAUCCAAACCCUAGCCCCCGCCGCUUCCGCACCGCACCGCCUCCGAGACGGUCGAUCUCCACCGCCGCCCGUACCUAGGGUUCGUUUGCCGGUUGUCGGGGAUAUACCCCGCGGUAUGACCCGGCCGGAGAUAUGACACGGUUGGGACCAGGUGUUUCAUUGGUGACCCGGCAGAUUGUUUAAGCUGUUUAAACCGGCGGAUAGUUAAGCAGGGUAAGCCGGCGGAGACAGUUAAGCAUGGUAAGCCGACAGACGGUUAAGCCAGAUAGUUAAGCCGGAUGUUAAGUCGGCAGAUUAUAAGCCGGCAGAUUGUUUAAGCCAGAUGUUUAAGUCAGACUGUGAUAGAGUCGCCUGGGGUUAAUAAUCCCAAAACGUUAAGAAGCCCAUGGAGAGAAGCCCGUGAAGAGAAGUCAGAAUAGUUAAGUCUUAAGUCCGAGUUGGACACUACAUGUAACCCGCCCCUUUAACUUAUAUAAGGAGGGGCAGGGCACCCCAAGAGGGACAGGUUGAGUAAUCUCUAGGUUAGACACAACUAGGGGAGCUGGCUUACAGCGACUCCCUCAUGAUCAUAAUGAGACCUAAGCACAAACAGCAUGUAGGGCUAUUACCGGAUGAUGUUUCCCGGGGCCCGAAGCUGUCUAAAUCCUUGUCUUGUGUGUUGAUCCGCCUCACGUCUCUCAUCCCGACCAACCCCUCUCAAGCUACCACAUAGAUGUGUUGGCCUCACGAAUAAGUCCUCACACUAGGACAUCUGCCGUGACAAAUCCACGACAGUUGGCGCCCACCAUGGGGCCCGCGCACGGUGGUGUUGAGUUCUUGGAGGGAUCUCUCACUAGGGUUUCGAGAAGUACACAAAUUUCCGCAUGAAGGAAAGUCGGUUUUGGAAGGACCUACGUCAGCUUUGAUCAAAAUUAGAAAUUUUUUAUUGGAGUUCAUCCGGUCGGUUGGUAAGAUUAUCAGAGAAGAUCCUGAAGGUUUCGUUUGGUUCAGUAUUGGUGCACUGAAGUCCGAUGGGUGCGGACCAUCAACAUGCACAAGGCCAAGUUGUUCCAAACCGCUGCCACUUCACACAAUACUGAAAAUAAAUCAUACAUCAUUCAAAAUACACACAUAGACCGAGUACGGUCAAAACCAAAUGAAAAGAAGAUAACCCCAAAUGCUAGAUCCCCGAUCGUCCCAACUUGGCACCACUACUGAUCAUUAGGAAACGAAACAUAGUAACGACCAAGUUCCUCGUCGAACUCCCACUUGAGUUCGGUAGCAUCACUUGCACUGGUAUCCUCGGCACCUGCAACUGUUUUGGAAGUAUCUGUGAGUCACGAGGACUCAGCGAUCUCACACCCGCGAGAUCAAGACUAUUUAAGCUUAUGGGUAGGAGAAGGUAGUGAGGUGGAGCUGCAGCAAGCACUAAGCAUAUAUGGUGGCUAACAUACGCAAAUAAGAGCGAGAAGAGGAGCAACGCAACGGUCGAGAAGCUAGAAGUGAUCAAGAAGUGAUCCUGAAACUACUUACGUUCAUACAUAACCCAAACCGUGUUCACUUCCCGGACUCCGCCGAAAAGAGACCAUCACGACUACACACGCGGUAGAUGUAUUUUAAUUAAGUCAGGUGUCAAGUUCUCUACAACGGGAUAUUAACAAAUUCCCAUCUGCCACAUAACCGCAGGCACGGCUCUCGAAAGUUUAUACCCUGCAAGGGUGUCCCAACUUAGCUCAUCACAAGCUCUCACGGUCAACGAAGGAUAUUCCUUCUCCCGGGAAGACCCGAUCAGGCUCAGAAUCCCGGUUACAAGACGUUUCGACAAUGGUAAAACAAGACCAGCAAGGUCACCCGACUGUGCCGACAAAUCCCGAUAGGAGCUGCACAUAUCUCGUUCUCAGGGCACACCGGAUGAGACAUCCUAUGAGUAAAACCAAGCCUCAAGUUUCCCCGAGGUGGCCCCCCAGUCUACUCGGUUCGGACCAACACUCAGAGGAGCACUGGCCCCNNNNNNNNNNNNNNNNNNNNNNNNNNNNNNNNNNNNNNNNNNNNNNNNNNNNNNNNNNNNNNNNNNNNNNNNNNNNNNNNNNNNNNNNNNNNNNNNNNNNNNNNNNNNNNNNNNNNNNNNNNNNNNNNNNNNNNNNNNNNNNNNNNNNNNNNNNNNNNNNNNNNNNNNNNNNNNNNNNNNNNNNNNNNNNNNNNNNNNNNNNNNNNNNNNNNNNNNNNNNNNNNNNNNNNNNNNNNNNNNNNNNNNNNNNNNNNNNNNNNNNNNNNNNNNNNNNNNNNNNNNNNNNNNNNNNNNNNNNNNNNNNNGUAAAUAAAGAUGACCCUCGGGCUCGUGAAAAAACCAAGGUUGGGCCUUGCUGGAGGAGUUUUAUUCAAAGCGAACUGUCAAGGGGGUCCCAUAAAUCCCCAACCGCGUAAGGAACGCAAAAUCAAGGAACAUAACACUGGUAUGACGGAAACUAGGGCGGCAAGAGUGGAACAAAACACCAGGCAUAAGGCCGAGCCUUCCACCCUUUACCAAGUAUAUAGAUGCAUUAAAGUAAAUAAGAGAUAUUGUGAUAUCCCAAAAAUAUCCAUGUUCCAACAUGGAACCAACUUCAUCUCCACCUGCAACUAGCAAUGCUAUAAGAGGGGCUGAGCAAAAGCGGUAAGAUAGCCAAACAACGGUUUGCUAGGAAAGGUGGGUUAGAGGCUUGACAUGGCAAUAUGGAAGGCAUGAUAUAGCAAGUGGUAGGUAGCGCGGCAUAGCAAUAGAGCGAACAACUAGCAAGCAAAGAUAGAAGUGAUUUCGAGUGUAUGGUCAUCUUGCCUGAGAUCCCGCAAGGAAGAAGAACGAGUCCAAGAAGAAGACAAACGGACGUAGUCAAACGAAUCCUCACAACUCCAGAACGAAACCGAAGCUAACGAGAGAAGCAAACCGGAAAGAAGCAAGCAACAAAGUAAACAACCAUCACAUAAACAUGGCAUGAUGCGCAACCAAGUAUGAUGCAUGUCCGGUUUAAAGAGGCAUGGCAUGGCAAAGUGCACAAACAAUACUACAAAUUAAGUGGAGCUCAAUAUGCAACGAGUUGCAUAUUGACGAAACACCACAUUCAAGUUAUUUAGUUCGCUCUUGUUUAUGUACCCAACAAUAUUAAAUGUUAUUCAACAUGGCAAGGGGUGAAGCAUAAAUAAACUAUCUAUUUAGGCAAGUUUAAAUGAGGCCGGAACAACAAACAACAAUUCCGGAAAAUCCCCAUAUGCAUAUUAUGAAUUUGGUACUGUUCUGCCCUAAACACAAUUUUAAUGUUGUUAAACAGCAAAAUAAAGUGCACCAUGUCAAACUAGGCAUUUUUCUACCCCAUUUACAUAUAAAGUUUAUUAAAUUUGGAGCGAGCUACGGUUAUUUAGUGAUGAAAUAAAUCAUUUAGCAUGGCAUUUAUGCAAAAUAAAUGUAAACAACAACUUAAACAUUUUAAACAUGGAUGAGAGCAGCAUAUUAUGAAACUAGAUGAAAUUCUGAGCAUUUUACAUAUAUAAAUUAUUUACAUAUGAUGCAUGGUUAAUUAGUUAUUACAUGCAUGAACAUGAGGGUUUUUCUGCAAAACAGUAAAACCUGGGAUAAUUGCUAAAUUCACAGAACAGGGAAAAAACGUGCACUGGUCUGAAACUGCUGGGUGUGGCUGAGCGCUCACCAUAGGCUCUUGGCCCGGUCGGUGCUGGGUUGGCCUGCUGGCGCAGGACGCGGGCUGCUGGGCUGGGCCUAGGCGGCUUGGCUGGAGGCGAUUGAGGCCUCCUGGUCCACGCGGGCGCGGUCGAGCGCUCGUUUCCCUCGCGUACAGAGACGAGCGAGCGAGGCAGAAGCAGGGCACGACGGCGGCAGCGGGGACUUGGCGAUGCGGCGGGGCCGAGGGACUUGGGCGCGACUCCGGCGAGCUGAGGAUGUCCAGCAACGACAGGGAUGGCCGGGACCCAACGGAUCCGAGCCAGGGCGGCGGCAUCGGAUGGAGACGAGACGGGCAGCGCUUGAAGCUUUGGCCAUGGCUCCUGUGAAGGUUCAGAGAGAGGGAGAGGGAGAAAAACAGAGGGAGGAAGGAGAAAAAGGGGAGGCGUGGUCUGGCCUGACGGAGGUGGUCGGAGGCCCAGCGCACUGCCGACGAGGUUGGUGUGGCUGCUCCAGUGACAAGUAACACGGGGACGCCGAGCUACAGGGUGCAGGAGAUGGAUCCGGCGAGGCUCGUCGAAUCUGGAGCUGGAGGAGCUCAUGCUUGGUGAUGACACGACGCGGUCAAGCUGGUGCUCGUCGGUGUCGGCUCGCCGGCCGGCGUGGCGGGGCGAUGCUCGAGCGGACGGGUUGCCUCGAUCCGGAUCGGGGGCUGGUAGCGAUGGGCGGAACCGCGAGGCUACGGGAGGCUCUCUGGGCCAUAGGAUCUGAGAUCUAGUGGUCCAGAUUGAGUGGGGUUUGGCUGAUGGAUCUGGCCAAGUGGAGGCAGGGGACUGGGUGCGUGCGGAUUGCGAGGAGAGCGGCGGCGGCUGCGGGAUUGGAGGGAGUUGGUCUGCCUAGGGUUUAGGUUAGCUAGAAAUGGAAUAGGGGAGGCCCCUAUAUAUAGCAGGUGGAUGAUAAGUGGGAAUAUGAGGGUAAUCUGGACCCUCCGAUUAUAAUCGGACGACCCGGGACAAUUAGAGCAACUCCAACGGGCCGACCCAAACGGACGGCGAUUUCGUCCGCUUUUUGUCCGUUUGGGUCGGCCGCCCGCCCGGCGUCCGCCCUGUUUUUCAUAUGGGUCGGCAGCGCGCCCAACACGCCGACCCAUAUGUGCAGGCGUGGCCGGCUGGCCGCCCAAUUUUGCAUUGCAUUGUGAAAUGAAAAUUCAACAAACAAAAUAGUCCACCCAAAUAAAUAGUAUAGUUUACAGGCCAAAUAAAAAUAAAAAUGUUUCACAUAGUUUUACAAACGAAUAAAAGAAGAUACAUCUAUUGGUUGCCAACAUGAGUCCACAUAUGCUCAACCAAAUCAUUUUGCAGUUGCACGUGAGUUUCCCAAUCACGCAUGUCUUCAUGAAACUGAGUGAACUGCUCAAAUGUUGUCGCAACUCCAUGCUCAGGCACAACAUUCUCACCCUGAAACUGAAAGCCUUGAUCGUACAGACGUUCCGGGCACUCGUCUUCUACGAUCACAUUGUACAUGAUCACACAAGCAGUCAUCACCUCCCAUAGUUUCUGCGUGCUCCAAGUAUUAGCAGGAUACCGAACGAUGCCCCAUCGAGAUUGCAAAACACCAAAGGCACGCUCGACAUCCUUUCUAGCACUCUCUUGCUCUUGGGCAAAUCUUUUCCUUUUCUCUCCAACAGGGUUGGGUAUUGUCUUUACAAUAGUGGUCCACUGAGGAUAGAUAACGUCACCCAAAUAGUACCCUUUGUCGUAGUUGUGGCCGUUGACAGUAAAGUUCACCGGUGGGCUGUUGCCUUCGGCAAGCCUAGCAAACACCAGCGAGCGCUGAAGCACGUUGAUAUCAUUGUGUGAUCCAGCCAUGCCAAAGAAAGAGUGCCAGAUCCAGAGAUCUUGAGACGCCACGGCCUCUAGUAUGACAGUGCAAGCCCUGACAUGUCCCUUAUACUGCCCUUGCCAAGCAGAAGGGCAGUUCUUCCACUCCCAGUGCAUGCAGUCUAUGCUGCCAAGCAUCCCCGGGAAGCCCCUGCUAGCAUUCAUCGCCAACAAACGGGUUGUAUCUGCAGCUGUCGGCUCUCUCAAGUACUCAGGGCCAAACACAGCAAUCACAGCCUUGCAGAACUUAUACAGGGACUCUAGGCAUGCAGACUCGCUCAUACGGACGUACUCGUCAAUGAGAUCACCGGGCACUCCGUAUGCAAGCAUUCGGAUGGCGGCAGUGCAUUUCUGAUAAGAGGAGAAACCAAUCUUGCCGACGGCAUCCUCUUUGCACUCGAAGUAGUCAUCAUAGCCGGCCACUCCCUCUCUAAUACGGUUGAAAACAUGCCUACUCAUACGGAACCGGCGGCGGAAUUUGUGAUGUUUGAACAACGGGUUUGUUGUAUCAAAGUAGUCCUUCCAAAGAAGGAAAUGCCCGCUCUCUCGGUUAUGAUUCAACGCCGGAAGGUGGCCCGGAAUGGAGCCAUGGAACAACGGCCGCUGGUUGUUGAGGUGGUGAUGGACCAACACGGCAGCCAAUAUCUCCUCGUCAUCGUCGGACGACGAAUUGUCGGAGUCGCAAAUGAAAUUGUGGAAAAAGAACUCGUCGACGGAGUCCAUUUUCGUACCUUGGCAAACUGUCGAACAGCUUGCGGGCAUCGAAGAAGGAGACGGCCGGCAAGGGGAGACGUGGUGCCCACAGACCAGCUAGCUGCCCUGCCGGCGUCCGAUGAGUGUGACGGCGCCGUCAGACGAGCGUGCCGGUCGUAUGUGGCCGGGGCGGCGAGGCGUCUUCUUGGUCGCGGGCGGCUGUGCGGUGGGGGAAGCGGCAGCGGGAACUAGUUUGCUCCCCGGCGGCGGCGGGCGACUGGGGGCAGGGACGGCGUUGCUGGGCGGAUGUGGAGGCGGCUGUAGCUAGAAGAGUCGCCGCAAAAAAUGGGCGGCGGCGUCGGUUGCUUGUUGGCCGGGGGGAGGGAGGCAAAUGUGCCACAGACAAGCGGGACCAGGGACAGGAGUAGGCGACCGCGCGCGCGUCCGUCGCGUGUCCGCGCCGACGGAAAUCAGGCUCAAAAAUAGCCCGGGAAUGGGUCGCCUACGGACGAAAAACGGACGCGCGUCCGUUUGGGUCGGCGCGUUGGGCCGCCUUUUCUGUCCGCGCCGACCCAAACGAACGGCCCCGGACGAAAUGGGUCGCCCCAUUGGAGUUGCUCUUAGGUUAUGGUAGAUCAAAUAAGAAACCAAAAAUAUUUAGGGGAUGAUCCGAAUCCAACGGUGACGACUACCCGGGUCGAGUUCGGGGAAGUUUUGGACGCGCACGAGGGAGUUUGUGCAUUUUCAAAAGAGGUUAGAUGGUUUGACAAGAGGGAAUCGAAAACACGGUUGGUCUCGAAACGAUCAACAAAAGAAAGGGGGGACGCGGCAACUACGAGCAGAUGCAAGUUUUAAAAAACAAUGACGGCAAUGAGUACCGAUGCAAUGCGGAUGAUGCCAUGAUGAAAGCAAUAAACAAAUAAAACACACGGCGGCAACGAAAUUACUGGAAGGCAUCUAGAGCGUCAGUCUUGGGUCGUUACAUCCGACCACGCCGCGAGCAGUUCCCCCUCAGCCGCAGCGGAGCCAAGCCGCCGCCUGCCUAAGCCGUAUCGUUGGGCCGCUCGGCGUCUCGCAUCUUCGCCGCCUUUUCAUCCUUGCGAUGAGCCGCCGUCGCUGACUCGCCCUCGCCAGCACCUUGUAACAGCCUCCGCUCGGCCUCACCGAGAGCCGCCAUCAGUGAGCCGCCGCCUUCGUCACCCGUAGGCACAACCGCCAAGCCACCAUCAGUGAGCCGCCGCCUUCGUCACCCGUCGGCACAACCGCCAAGCUGCCGGAUUCUGCUUCUGCCAUGAAUUCAACCCGCCAGCACUAGUGCAGAACCGGGCUUUAGCGCCGGUUCGUAAGGGCCUUUAGUGCCGGUUCUGCAACCGGCACUAAAGAGUGGAGACUAAAGCCCCCCCCUUAACUACCGGCACUAAAGAGUGGAGACUACCACGUGGCACGAGCCAGGCCCGGGUGCUGGUAGACCAUUAGUACCGGUUGGUAGCACCAACCGGUACUAAAUGUUUGGGGGAGUUUUGGUUUUAAUUUUUAUUUUUCCAUUAAUUUUGUGUUUUCUAUUUAAUUCUUUUUUGUUUGCUGGUAUUUUACGAUACUACAUAUUGUACACGUUAUGCAUAUAUAUAAAUAGAUUUUCUCGUAGAAACGAUCAUAUAUAUAUAUAAUCGAAUGUCUCACAACCACCAUUAAUUAUUCACACAUACACAUGUAUAUAUAUACAAUUUCUCCUACAUGUUGCCUUGGUGCCUUCGGAGCACGAUGACAAGUGGUUCAUGGGGGCGGUAGCGGGUAAUAGUAUUCUCCUUUGGGAUCUAUGACCUGGUCGAGCAAAAAUCCCGCUAUUUCCUCUUGAAGUGCUCGUAUGCGCUCCUCUGCUAGGAGCUGGUCCCGCACCUUUUUGAACUGUUAAGAAGGAGAUCAAUAUGCAUGUGUAUUAGUUGUGUGACUAGAUAUCGACAAUCAUGUAAGAUUUGUGAAUAGUGUUCUGGCAAACGUACCCAGUCCUGUCUAUCAGAUCUGCUCCUUUCGGACGCCAUCAUGCGAAUGUUCUCGCAAACGUAGUAUGCACACACUUCAGUCCCCGGCGCUUGCUUCAGGGCCUUUACGAGAAUAGAAUUUAAUCAGAUAAUAAUUAAUCAAGCAUGUUAAUUAAUUAAUGGUAUUGAAACAAGAAUUAAAGAGAUGGUAGCUAGCUAGCUAGUACUACUUAAUUACUUACCUUGGGUCGAUACCAACAUAGCUUUUGUCGCCAUUUUCCUGGAGUCACCUUGAUGUACUUUGCCCAAGCCCUGCCCGCCGGCAAGGAAAAUUAAUAAAGGGGUUAUUAAAAAUAGUUCAUAUCAGGAAAUGACGAACUAAAUAGGCCGAGAUAUAGUUAAUAAUGAUUGAAAUUACCUGUUGACUAUCCCCUUCACGAUGCUGUAGUCACUAUCUUUUUUAAGUAGUGAGUCCAGUACUUCAACUUUUCCUUCGUUAACUUUAAUGUCUAACAAGAUCCAGUGGAAGCUGCAUGCGCAUACGUUUGCAUGUAUAAAUUAAGCGGGCAUGUGCAUAACACUAAUCAACUAUAACCCUAAACCCUAUACACUUAUUAACAUCUAGCUAGUAAGCAAAAACAGAAUUUGUAGUACAAGACAGUGUGACUCACUCGAAGUUGUAAGGAAGUAGUAUAUCUUCAUUGCUAUUGAGGCGCUUCAAGAACUCUAGCAUGCAUUUCUCUACAUCUUGUCUACACCAUUCCAAUUUCCAUGUGUAUUCAUUAACGGUAUUUGGGUCAUUGAACCCAAUGCCAUAGCGUCCAGCUUUUUUCAUUUCAUACAUCUUCAUCCUGCAUAAUACCACAGAAAAGAAUAUAUAAUGAGGAUAUAUAAUUACAGGUAAUUAAUGAUCAAUCAAUGAGCACUAGAGCUAGCUUGAGACUUAAAUUACAGAAAGAAAACACUUACAGACAAUAGCAACUGACGAUAGAUUUGUCGAGUGCAUCUUGAUUGAAUAACUGAAAUAGUUCUGAAUACUCAACAGACAGAGCUUUCUUAUUGAAGUAAUGAUCUUCCUCGACUUGCACCAUGAAGGACUCUCGAUUGGAAAUCUUGGUAAUUUUCAAGUACCAAUCAUGCAAUUCAUACAUUCUCGUUGGGAGUGGGAGGUUCUUGACCUCCCCGGGCUCGACCAAAGGUUGGCCCCGGACAUAUUUCCGUUUUAUUUCCUCCUCUCUAAGCGGAGACAUGGGCUCGAUCUCGAGGAGUUGUCCAACAGUGAUCUUGAGCAUUUCAGCCUGCAUUAUAUGCUUCUCGGUUAUUACCACAUCGCCCAGCUCGGGAACGUAAAUGGUUUGCCCACAAUAAUAUUGGGCGCGCGUACUCUCAUGUGUUGUUGGCACAACAAGCGGGGGGGGGGGGUCGAUUGCGCCGCAUGUUCUCCCAGCUGGGGAACGGUUUUCCCGCAUUUUUUGACAGCUGCUUGUUGGCUCGAGCUUGAGCUCGCUUCUUUCUGUAGUCGUGCUCGAUGUGCCUUCUUGAUUUGGCGCUCAUAGUCUGAGUCAACAGGCUUGGGAGCUGGUGGUCUAGCCAUACGAAUGAAGUGGUCAAUCUUUUCCUCAGGCACUUUCUCCCUCGGCGGCGUUCCCGGUUUCGGUCGAAAAUGAGCGUCCACUUCGGCCCGCACUAUUGCAUCAUUUUGCUCCUCGGUCAUGUCGUAAGGCCUCUGAGGAAGAGGAGCGAGGCUGCUUGGACCAUAUUUAUAUCGCUUGUCUCCGCCUGUACUUUCUGUACUACCUCGACUCAUACCGCUACGCACCAUAGCUGCGGCGUGUCUCUUCUGCGAUUGCUUAGGCGGCGGACACGACUGACGUGGCUUAGUUGGAGCAGGAGGACUGGCCUGACGCUGUGCCGGACUUGAAGCAGGAGGUGUGGCCUGACACAGUGUCGGACUUGAAGCAGGAGGUGUGGCCUGACGCUGUGCCGGACUUGAAGCAGGAGGUGUGGCCUGACACGGUGUCAGACUUGAAACAGGAGGAGUGGCCUGACGCUGUGCCGGACUUGAAGCAGGAGUCUGCUCACGCGUUCGUGGACUUGGAGGAGCGGGAGUCUGCUGACACGGUGGCGGACUUCAAGGAGGAGUCGGCAGACGCGGUGUCGGUGGACUUCGAAAGAUGAUGCAAUCCUUUCUCCAUAGGAUGAUACGAUGUAUGGCCUCUCCCAGUGUGUGCUCGUCGUCACCUCCAAGAAUGUCAAGAUCUAGCCCCGAAUAUGGGUCCACCACCUCAUCAACCAAGACACGAGCAUAGCCCUCUGGAAUCGGGGCGCAAUGGAAGGUUGCUUCGGGGGUAAUUGUAAAAGCAACGACGUCCGCCGCCUUCAUGGAUAUGUUCUUCAUUUUGAAGUGUAGCUCACAGUUAGUGUUCUCUAUGAUGUCAUCCACAGGGUAUGUAUCCAGCAGUGCGUCGCCUGGGGCGGAACCAACGCUGCUUCUCGGCAUGGAUGGGACGGUGCUAUCCAAUGCUGGAUGAUCAUCCGCUUGCUGCUGCCGCUGCUGAGACCCCCUUUCCUGGCUAAGUGAGUCGAUCUGCUACUGCUGCUGCUGGAAUUUGAGUGCCAAGUCCGCGUGCCUUGCUUCUAGGCCUUGAAGGCGUUCCGCGUCCUGCUUCCUCUGCUCCUCCUCCAGCUUCCUCUUCUUCUCCUCCUCCAUCUUCUUUCUUGCAUGGGUCCUGUAGUCGUCGUUCCAUUCCGAAAAGCCCUCAUACCAGGGAAUAACGCCCUUGCCUCGUGUUCUUCCCGGGCGGUCAGGAUUUCCCAGGGCGCGCGUAAGCUCGUCGUUCUCUCUGUUGGGCGUGAACACCCCCUUUCGAGCAUCUUCUAUUGCGUCAAGUAACUUUUGUUCUGGUCCUUUUAGACUUGCCUUCUUCGAAACCAGGCCUGUCUUCGGGUCCAACGCCCCCCCAUGCGCAUAGAACCAAGUUCUGCACCUGGGGGGCCAGCUCCUAGUAACCGGAGUGACCCCUGCAUCCUCCAUCUCUUGCUCAGACUUAUCCCACUUAGGCAUUGCCACCGCGUAGCCACCUGGACCCAGCCUAUGGAACUGCGUCUUUUUUGCGGCAUUGGCCUUGUUUUUUCUCGACCGUUCCUUAGAUAAUUCUGAUUCCUUGAAUUUCACGAAAGCGGGCCAGUGUUCUCUUUGCUUCUCCAGUGUUCCCUUGAAUUCUGGAGUCUUCCUUUCUGCAGCGAGGUAGUUGGCCCACACAGUUUUCUUGUGGGUGUUGAAUGCAAUUGCCAUCUUCUUAAGAGCAGCGUCCUUGACUUUCUGCACAUCUGCAUCAGUGAAAUAAUCUGGUAGGGUGAAAUGUUCCAUCAGAGAUUCCCAAAGCUUUUGUUUUGCUCUGUCGUCGACCCAAGUAACAUCUGGGCGUUUAGUUUUUGGCUCUUUCCAUUCUUGAAUGGAGAUCGGGAGUUGGUCCUUCACAAGAACUCCGCACUGACGAACGAACUUGUUCGCAAUGUUCUUAGGCGUGAGGGGUUCACCACUAGCUUUGAUGGAAUCGAUGUUGUACUUUACACCCUCCUUCAACUUUUUGCCCGGGCCGCGCUUUGUCCUGCUGUCUGUAGAAGCAGAUUUGCUCGAUCCGGAGGGCUGAAAGAAGAAAGAUCGAUUCGUUAAUAUAUCUUCAAAUAAAAAAACAUGUGAUGAUCACUAGAUGCCUGCUUAUAUAAAUAUACCUCGCCGGUAGUCUUUGUUAUUUCAAGAUCAACAUUGUAUUCGUCAUCAUAAUCAUUGUCUGCGUCAUCAUAAUCAUAAUCAUAGUUCAUGACUUCAUCAGCUCGGUCGUCGAGAUCGAAUAUCUUAUCAUCACCCUCCCCGGUAUUUUUCAGAUAUUGGGAGCCGUCAUUUGCUUCAUUCAGAUCAUCUCGCCUGCUAGGGCUGCGUAUGAUCUCGAACAGGGCCUCUUCUCCCUCUCUGCCGGUAUUGUCCGCCAUAGCUUUUAUUUAACUAAUACCGAAGAAAUAUAAAACAAUUUAGUAUUCAAAUUACAAUGCAUGGAUGCAAUCAAUAAGGAAAAACUGAAUCAUAUAGUACAUAAUAUGCAUCGUCUCGAAUAAUAUAUAAUCUCGAAUACAUCACUGGCUAGGUAGCUAAUAAAGAUCGAAUACUAUAGAAGAAUCUAGGCCACUCGCGGUUCCUGGGGCGCGGGCGGUGGACACCCAAAGACAAGGAACCAUCACAGGAUCAUAUCUCCGAUCAUCUGCCCAAAGAACCUGCCAGGUAUUGGAGAACCCGACGUCCAUAGCAGCCAUGUAGCGAUGGACGUGCUCCUCCUCCUCCCUGACACGACGACGCACCACCUCCGGUGGGGCCGGCUCCCUCUGCACCGAAUGUGGCCCACGCGAACGCCACCAAAGGAGAUCAGGGUCGACGACGGGACCCGAGGCCGGGUUCCUCACCAAGCGGCGCGCCCCUCCAGGUAGCACCUCCCAGUGCCAGCCCGGCGGAGCCCAAUCCCGGACAUGGGUAAGCCGGACGUCGUCGCGAACGGGUCGACGGCGAGGAUGCGGGCUGGGCAUCGUCGAUAACAAAUACUAUAUGCCCGCAAAAAGUAACAUUUUUUAAAUGAUUGGAUUGUGAUAACUAAAAUUAUAAGAAACUGAAAAAAACAUCGAUCAUCGUCUAACAAUUUGACAUUAAUCUAAUUCAUCUAGCUAAAACUAAUUCUAAAAUUUCUAACAUUUCUAUAUAUAUAACUAACAUUUCUAUAACAUUUCUAAUAUUUCUAUAACCAAAAAACAGAAAAAUUGCUAACAUUUCUAUAACUAAAAUUAUAAGAAACUAAAAACUACCAUUUCUAACAUUUCUAUAACAAUUUGAAAUUAAUCGAAUUCAUCUAGAUAAAACUAACAUUUCUAAAAUUUCUAACAUUUCUAUAUACUAUUUGACAUUAAUCUAAUUAAUUAAUUAAUUCAUCUAAAACAUUUGUAUAAAAAACAGAAAAAACAGAAUCGUGUGUGUGUUGCUGUGUGCCUGUGUGUGUGUGUGCUCGCGCGCGUGCGCGUGUGCACCCUACGGCGCCGGCGGCGCGGUGGCUUCGAUUGGAGGGAGGAGAGGGGCCGGGGAGAGGGGCUCACAGCGCGGGCGACGGCGAGGCGACGGGACAGCGAGGCAGAGGGGACGGUGACGGACGGCGACGGGGACGGCGAUGGGGACGGCGACUGGGGCGGCGGCGACGGCGACGGACGGCGACGGGGGCGGUGACGAGGGGCGGCGACGGGGGCGGCGACGAGGGGCGUCGGCGACGGGGUAGAGGAGAAGAAGCAGAGGGAGAACGAACUGCCGAAUUUUUUUGAAGUGUUUUCUUAUAUAUAGCUCACCUUUAGUACCGGUUGGAGCCACCAACCGGUACUAAAGGUCUGUUUUGGCCAGGCGAAGCGGCGGGAAGCGCACACCUUUAGUACCGGGUGGUGGCACCAACCAGUACUAAAGACCCCCCUUUAGUACCGGUUGGAGCCACGACCCGGUACUAAAGGGGUGCGGUGGCGCAGGUGUGGUGCGGGCAAGUUUAGUCCCACCUCGCUAGCCGAAGGGCGCCCGCACCUGCUUAUAAGCCCCGCUGCAGCAGCUGUCUCGAGCUCCUCUCUAUUGCAGGCCUUGUGGGCCUACCUGUUCUAUGCUGCCCUGUGGGCCUAUUGGGCCUUUGCGGGCCUGCAUCCUGCCCAACAACAGGUCGGGUUUCUAGUCGUAUGCAGGCCGCUGUGGCGCAGUAGGCGGGCUUUUUUAUUUUCUUAUUUUUUUGCUUUAUUUAUUUCUGAGUUGUUUUUUGCUGUAUUUAGAGUUUCUUUGUGAAUAUUUUUUCUUUAGGUACAAAAAAUUACAAACUUUCUAUUAGUGCCGGUAGUUUACAAAUUUGAAUAGUUUACAUUUUGAAUUAUUUGAAAUUUGUGUGAAUCACUAGUUUGUGAAUAACUUAACUUUGAAAAUAGAUUUUCAGUGAUUCUUUUUUCUUAUGUUUAAUAUUAGUGUGCUUUAUCAUUAUAUUCAAUUUGGUAAUGCCUAGGUUAUUUAAAAAAUGAAAUGCCUUUGUAACGGAUGAGUUUUCGUCCGAAACCCUGAUACUUCGAAAGAGAUUGUCCAUUUUAUACACGAAGUGCAUCCAGUUUUUGCGGUAACCCUCUCUACUUUUUUGCACAUGCUAUCUGGGUGAAAUUAUGAUACCAUGCCAACUUUCAACCUUUUCUGAGUUCAUUUGAAAUGCUUUUCAAUUUCAGGGUCAUUUAGCUGAAAAAAUCAGUAAAUGCAUGAAAGAAUUUGUUCGCACAUAAAAUUUCUUCGCGUUUCAAAUGCCAAAACACAUAACUACCCUAACUAUUACAGAGAUUCCCUCGUGGGUGUGAAACACAGAAGAAAGUGAUGAUAGUGAAGCCGAUCACAUCCCAGAUCUUUGGGUGUGAAACUUUUUCUUCGCGUAUGUCCCUUUGCGCCGUAGCCAUGGAAAAUCUUCAUCAUUUAACUGGAUGCUCGGGUCAAUAUUCACUGUGAAUGGAGCAAUUUCAUCAAACUUUUCAUAAUCUUCUAACAUGUCUGUCUUGUCAUCCACUCCCACGAUGUUUCUCUUCCCAGAAAGAACUAUGUGGCGCUUUGGCUCAUCGUAUGAUGCAUCCGCUUCCUUAUCUUAUCUUUUUCUCGGCUUGGUAGACAUAUCCUUCACAUAGAAAACCUGUGCCACAUCAUUAGCUAGGACGAAUGGUUCGUCUGCAUACGCAAGAUUGUUGAGAUCCACUGUUGUCAUUCCAUACUGCGGGUCUUCCAUUACCCCAUAUCGUGUCAUAUUGACCCAUUUGCACCGAAACAAAGGGACCUUCAAACCACGUCCAUAGUCAAGUUCCCAUAUCUCCUCUAUGUAACCAUAAUAUGUUUCCUUUCCCGUCUUGGUUGUUGCAUCAAAGCGGACACCACUGUUUUGGUUGGUGCUCUUCUUAUCUUGGGCGAUCGUGUAAAAUGUAUUACCAUUUAUCUCGUACCCUUUGAAAGUCAUUAUAUUCGAAGAUGGUAACUGGGACAGCGAGUACAGGUCAUCUUCAAUAGAGGCGUCAUGCAUGGUACGUGUCUGCAACCAGCCGGCGAAAUUCCUGGUUUGUUCACGUGUAAUCCAGUCAUCAGACCGCUCCGGGUGUUUGGAGCAUAGAAAAUUCUUGUGUUCGUCCAUAUACGGAGCCACCAAGGCGGAAUUCUGUAUAACUGUGUAGUGUGCUUCAGUGAGAGAAUGUCCAUCCAUACAUAUUUUUUGAUUCCCUCCUAGCGUGCCUUUUCCAUCCAGUCUGCCCUUAUGCCGCGAUUCAGGAACACAAAUCGGCUUAAGGUCAGGAAUAAAGUCAAUACAAAACUCAAUGACCUCCUCAUUUUCAUGGCCCUUGGAGAUGCUUCCUUCUGGCCUAGCACGGUUAUGAACAUAUUUCUUUAAGACUCCCAUGAACCUCUCAAAGGGGAACAUAUUGUGUAGAAAUACAGGACCCAAAACGUUAAUCUCUUCCACUAGUAGGAAAAGGGGCUUUUACCCCGGUUCAUAAGGGCCUUUAGUCCCGGUUCAGGAACCGGGACUAAAGGGUCGUUACUAAUGCCCUAGCCCUUUAGUCCCAGUUCUUACACGAACCGGGACUAAAGGCCGUCCACGUGGCCGGUGCGGGGAGCCCAGGCAGGAGGGCCUUUGGUCCCGGUUGGUGCCACCAACCGGGACCAAUAGGCAUCCACGCGUCAGCACCUGGCAGGAGCUGAGGUUUUUGUUUUUUUUNNNNNNNNNNNNNNNNNNNNNNNNNNNNNNNNNNNNNNNNNNNNNNNNNNNNNNNNNNNNNNNNNNNNNNNNNNNNNNNNNNNNNNNNNNNNNNNNNNNNNNNNNNNNNNNNNNNNNNNNNNNNNNNNNNNNNNNNNNNNNNNNNNNNNNNNNNNNNNNNNNNNNNNNNNNNNNNNNNNNNNNNNNNNNNNNNNNNNNNNNNNNNNNNNNNNNNNNNNNNNNNNNNNNNNNNNNNNNNNNNNNNNNNNNNNNNNNNNNNNNNNNNNNNNNNNNNNNNNNNNNNNNNNNNNNNNNNNNNNNNNNNNNNNNNNNNNNNNNNNNNNNNNNNNAACAUGUGGUGCAUGUCGAAAGUAAUACUAAUCCGGACUUGAUCAAGUUUGGAUUGUACUACUUUCGACACGCACCACAUGCAUGUUGCCUUCACUUCAAUCCAAUCCAUGUUCAUUUCACCCGCUGAUAUAUAAUAACUCUUCAUGCACGCAUCAUGCAUCAUCAUAUAUAAUAACAAGUCCUACUAAUCAUCAUCAUACAACUUCUACUCGUUAUUACUAACAAGUCAUACGAUCAUCAUCCUCACAGUCAUCGAACCAACCCUACUUAAUUGUUCUUAGCACAUGAUCAUCAGUAUUAGGUAGGACCAAAAUACCCUCUUUAAGGUAAAAUAGCAUAAAACAAUAUAGACCCUGACUCUCCAUUAUGGAGAAUGGAGAUCAUCCUGUCUCCAAUUCUUGCGCCUCGCUUCCUUUUGCUUCCAAGAAGCUCCUUGCGACUGUCCAUACAUUUUUUCCAUUCUUUGAUUUGCAUGUCUCCACUUCUUUUAGAAAUCCGGUAUGGACAGUUGAGAUUCGUAGGAUGACCUGGUUGUAUAUUCAAAACAUCAAGCCUACCAUUCAGAUACAUCAAAUGAGGCACACAAUCCUCUGGGAUUAUCUGUUGAAAAACAUAGUAAUAACUUCAUAGUUAGCAAUGAUAAUGCACUAGUUUUAGAACUAUGCAAAAUAUGCACGGAUGUCGUAAUAGUAAGAAAUCUUACCAGGGUAUCUCCAUAGUAGUUACCGUAGUUCACCACGUGCACUAGUGGCACGUAUGGAGGACCAUAAUGAUGAGGAGUUUGAUUGUAGAUAUUGUAAUUCUCAAUAUCAGUACAAAAUCCGACCAGAUGAGUUUUCUCCUUAUAAGUUAACUCAGAGCCAUCGGUGUAGUAGGUUCUGUCUACCAUGUUCCGCACAUUGUUUGAACAAUCAAAAUAACCUGUCAAUGAAAAUAAGCUGUCAACUAUUUUGAAAUGAACAAUAUAAAUUAGCUAAUAACUAUGUUUGAGAAACUCACAUAGCGGUAGAAUUGGAGGCGUAUCAACAAGGACCCAAAUGUCCAUAUUGUCUUGCUCGAUGUCAGGAUCACCAAGAUCCAUGGUGACAAGCAUACCCUCAUCAAAACCAUACAUCUUGCAAAAUGCUUCCCAAUUUUUGCAACCAAAAUGGGUUACGCUCUCAGAAUUAUACAGCUUUACUUCAAAAUCUAUAUCAUGAUGGGUCCUUAGGUGAAUUUUCUUUGUUUCCAUACUUUCAUGGUCUUCAAAACCCAUCCUCUCCAAGACGUAGCGACUUGCAUGGCAUGGGAUAAGCUAGCCGAAUUGUAAAAGAUGAAAAGUACACGUUGAAAUAGUUGAAGUCGUGCUUAAUUACGAAAAAAUAACACUUGUCGUCGUUGCGUACCGUUUCAACAUCGAACGUCUCCUCCAGCUUAAUACUGAAGCGCCGAUCUUCGUCCAGGUGAGGCCUGUCGCACUGACCUCGGUCGUCGUGGCACCAGUCGCACUCCCCCGGGAGACUUUCGUCGUCCGAGUAUGACAUUUCCUAUGUUCAUAUAUAAUUCAAAUAUUAAACAUCUACAAUUAAAUAUAUGUACUAAAAAACCUAAGUUAGAUCAUUAUUAUUCAUCACGGGUUGACUAUCGGUUUGUCGAGUCUUUUCUUGAAAACUCUCAGCUCACGUGGUGUAUACAUUCGACCGUUGGUGAUGGUCGCUCCUCCCUUUGUCCCCGUGUGCAUUACACCAAAAUGUCUAGCUAGCACACGGGAACAAAGGAGAAGCGACCCCCACGACAACAGUCGGGAUUCUUCGUCCUCUCACAUAUAUAUGGUGGAACUCUCCCUCACUGAUUCCUCUCUGACAUUUGCGACCGUCGGUGAUGGUAGCUCCUCCUUUCGUUCUCGAGUGCAUUACACCAAAUUGUCUAGCACACGGGAACGAAGGAGAAGCUACCCCCACGACAACACAGUCGGGAUUCUUCGUCCUCUCAUAUAUGGUGGAGACUCGACAGACUUACAGUCAACCCGAAAUAUCGUUUAAUUAUCUUUCUAAAAGAGGAUUUGGCUGGUCUCACCUCGAUGUCGGAGGGGGCGGUGACGGGGACGACGGCGGGGAUGAUGGAGGGGCCGGGGGGGCUCCUAGAUUUCUGCGAAAACAAAAACCCUAUAAGCUAUCAACUAAUCAUAGUGCUCUCCAAUUUUAGCAUUCAAAGUAGGAUCGGAGUAGUUUUCCACUUUGAGCAUUCAAUAAGCAAAAUCAAAUCACAAAAUAAAGUAGUAUUCAAAUUAGGAUGCAUUCAAUUAUAAGCAAAACUACAUCUUCUCCAUGCGUCCGUACAUCGCCGAAUAUUAUCACUAAUACACCUCGAAUACUAUCAUACAUAUAGCAUCGCUAGUACAGCUAGAACAGUAGCGCCCGACGGACAUCGGCGCGGGCGGUGGACACCCAAAGGGACGGAACCAUCACAGGAUCAUAGCUCCAGUGAGAUCCCUGAAGAACCUGCCAGGUACUGUCGAACCUGCCCUCCAACGCAACCAUGUAGCGACGGACGUGCUGGUCCUCCUCGCUGACAUGGUGACGUACCUCCUCCGCGGUGUCCGGAAGCCUCGGCACCGUCACUGGCCCACGCGAGCGCCACCAAACAAGGAUCGGGUCAACGACGGGCUGGUUCCUCACCAACCUACGCCCACCGGAAGGUAGCACCUCCCAAAACCAGCCCGGCGGAGCCCAGUCCCGGACAUGGCCCCUCUGAUCAAGCCGGCCUCCUCCGCCGAGUCGACGACGAGGAUGCGGGAUAGGCAUCGUCAACGUCGAUGCGGGAAUAAUUGCUUUAACUAAAAAAAACAAACUAGUUCUAUUAAUUUCCUUACUAUAAAUAGAAUAAAGUAGUACUUACUAAAAAUAAACUAGCUAGUUUAACUAGUUCUAUUAUUUUUCUAACUAAUUCUAUUAAACACUUUCUAGGUAGUACUUACUAAAAGUUAUCGGGGAGGGGGGUACAUAUAUCGACAACGACAUACCCGAUAAAAAAUAAGAAGAGGAAGAAGACGCAAAAAAAGAGGAGAAGAAGAAAGGAAUAAAGGAGGAGAUCGAAGAAAAAAAAAGAAAAAAAGAGGAGAAGAAGAAGGAAUAGAGGAGAAGAAGAAGAAAUAGAAUAAUUAUUCUAUUUCUUCUUCUUCUCCUCUAUUCCUUCUUCUUCUACUCUUUUUUUUUCUUCUUUUUCAUCUUCUUAUUUAUUUCUCCUCUACUUCCUCUCCUCUUCUUCUCUUCUUCUCUUCUUCUUCUCCUUCUUAUUNNNNNNNNNNCUCUUUUCACCAGCGCAAAGGGCGGGAAGCAGAGGCCUUUGGUCUCGGUUGGUGGCACCAACCGGGACUAAAGGGGGGGCAUUGGUCCCGGUUGGUGCCACCAACCGGGACCAAAGGCCUUGCGCUGCCCGCGCCCAAAAGUUUAGUCCCACCUCGCUAGUUGAGAGGGGCUCGGAGUGGUUUAUAAGCCCCACUGCGGCUGCCCUCUCGAGCUCCUCUCAAAUGCAGGCUUACAGGCCUAAUGUCACACUGUGCUGUCUGUGGGCCUAUUGGGCCUUCUGCGGGCCUGAAUCCUGGCCCAGGUUGGGUUUCUAGUCGUAUUCAGGCCGUGGUGGCCCAAUAGGUGGCAGUUUUUUAAAUUUUUUGCAUUAUUUAUUUUCUUUUGUUUUUUGCUUUAUUUUUUAAUUCUUUUUGCUUUUAGGUCAGCAAAAUUAUAAACUGUCUGUUAGUGCCAUUAGUUUUAGAAAACAUAUAAACUUUCUAUUAGUGCCAUUAGUUCUUUAUGAAAAUUCUUUUUGCUGUAUUUAGUUUUUUUAUUUUCUUUUUUGCUAUAUUUAUUUUGUUUUAUUUCUACUUACAACAAAAAACUUAUUUAUUUUAUUUUAUUUUGUUUCUAAUUACUUAUUUAUUUUACUUUAUGAUAAUUCUUUCUGCUAUUAAAGUUUCUAUCAAAAAAAGUUCUUUANNNNNNNNNNNNNNNNNNNNNNNNNNNNNNNNNNNNNNNNNNNNNNNNNNNNNNNNNNNNNNNNNNNNNNNNNNNNNNNNNNNNNNNNNNNNNNNNNNNNNNNNNNNNNNNNNNNNNNNNNNNNNNNNNNNNNNNNNNNNNNNNNNNNNNNNNNNNNNNNNNNNNNNNNNNNNNNNNNNNNNNNNNNNNNNNNNNNNNNNNNNNNNNNNNNNNNNNNNNNNNNNNNNNNNNNNNNNNNNNNNNNNNNNNNNNNNNNNNNNNNNNNNNNNNNNNNNNNNNNNNNNNNNNNNNNNNNNNNNNNNNNNNNNNNNNNNNNNNNNNNNNNNNNNNNNNNNNNNNNNNNNNNNNNNNNNNNNNNNNNNNNNNNNNNNNNNNNNNNNNNNNNNNNNNNNNNNNNNNNNNNNNNNNNNNNNNNNNNNNNNNNNNNNNNNNNNNNNNNNNNNNNNNNNNNNNNNNNNNNNNNNNNNNNNNNNNNNNNNNNNNNNNNNNNNNNNNNNNNNNNNNNNNNNNNNNNNNNNNNNNNNNNNNNNNNNNNNNNNNNNNNNNNNNNNNNNNNNNNNNNNNNNNNNNNNNNNNNNNNNNNNNNNNNNNNNNNNNNNNNNNNNNNNNNNNNNNNNNNNNNNNNNNNNNNNNNNNNNNNNNNNNNNNNNNNNNNNNNNNNNNNNNNNNNNNNNNNNNNNNNNNNNNNNNNNNNNNNNNNNNNNNNNNNNNNNNNNNNNNNNNNNNNNNNNNNNNNNNNNNNNNNNNNNNNNNNNNNNNNNNNNNNNNNNNNNNNNNNNNNNNNNNNNNNNNNNNNNNNNNNNNNNNNNNNNNNNNNNNNNNNNNNNNNNNNNNNNNNNNNNNNNNNNNNNNNNNNNNNNNNNNNNNNNNNNNNNNNNNNNNNNNNNNNNNNNNNNNNNNNNNNNNNNNNNNNNNNNNNNNNNNNNNNNNNNNNNNNNNNNNNNNNNNNNNNNNNNNNNNNNNNNNNNNNNNNNNNNNNNNNNNNNNNNNNNNNNNNNNNNNNNNNNNNNNNNNNNNNNNNNNNNNNNNNNNNNNNNNNNNNNNNNNNNNNNNNNNNNNNNNNNNNNNNNNNNNNNNNNNNNNNNNNNNNNNNNNNNNNNNNNNNNNNNNNNNNNNNNNNNNNNNNNNNNNNNNNNNNNNNNNNNNNNNNNNNNNNNNNNNNNNNNNNNNNNNNNNNNNNNNNNNNNNNNNNNNNNNNNNNNNNNNNNNNNNNNNNNNNNNNNNNNNNNNNNNNNNNNNNNNNNNNNNNNNNNNNNNNNNNNNNNNNNNNNNNNNNNNNNNNNNNNNNNNNNNNNNNNNNNNNNNNNNNNNNNNNNNNNNNNNNNNNNNNNNNNNNNNNNNNNNNNNNNNNNNNNNNNNNNNNNNNNNNNNNNNNNNNNNNNNNNNNNNNNNNNNNNNNNNNNNNNNNNNNNNNNNNNNNNNNNNNNNNNNNNNNNNNNNNNNNNNNNNNNNNNNNNNNNNNNNNNNNNNNNNNNNNNNNNNNNNNNNNNNNNNNNNNNNNNNNNNNNNNNNNNNNNNNNNNNNNNNNNNNNNNNNNNNNNNNNNNNNNNNNNNNNNNNNNNNNNNNNNNNNNNNNNNNNNNNNNNNNNNNNNNNNNNNNNNNNNNNNNNNNNNNNNNNNNNNNNNNNNNNNNNNNNNNNNNNNNNNNNNNNNNNNNNNNNNNNNNNNNNNNNNNNNNNNNNNNNNNNNNNNNNNNNNNNNNNNNNNNNNNNNNNNNNNNNNNNNNNNNNNNNNNNNNNNNNNNNNNNNNNNNNNNNNNNNNNNNNNNNNNNNNNNNNNNNNNNNNNNNNNNNNNNNNNNNNNNNNNNNNNNNNNNNNNNNNNNNNNNNNNNNNNNNNNNNNNNNNNNNNNNNNNNNNNNNNNNNNNNNNNNNNNNNNNNNNNNNNNNNNNNNNNNNNNNNNNNNNNNNNNNNNNNNNNNNNNNNNNNNNNNNNNNNNNNNNNNNNNNNNNNNNNNNNNNNNNNNNNNNNNNNNNNNNNNNNNNNNNNNNNNNNNNNNNNNNNNNNNNNNNNNNNNNNNNNNNNNNNNNNNNNNNNNNNNNNNNNNNNNNNNNNNNNNNNNNNNNNNNNNNNNNNNNNNNNNNNNNNNNNNNNNNNNNNNNNNNNNNNNNNNNNNNNNNNNNNNNNNNNNNNNNNNNNNNNNNNNNNNNNNNNNNNNNNNNNNNNNNNNNNNNNNNNNNNNNNNNNNNNNNNNNNNNNNNNNNNNNNNNNNNNNNNNNNNNNNNNNNNNNNNNNNNNNNNNNNNNNNNNNNNNNNNNNNNNNNNNNNNNNNNNNNNNNNNNNNNNNNNNNNNNNNNNNNNNNNNNNNNNNNNNNNNNNNNNNNNNNNNNNNNNNNNNNNNNNNNNNNNNNNNNNNNNNNNNNNNNNNNNNNNNNNNNNNNNNNNNNNNNNNNNNNNNNNNNNNNNNNNNNNNNNNNNNNNNNNNNNNNNNNNNNNNNNNNNNNNNNNNNNNNNNNNNNNNNNNNNNNNNNNNNNNNNNNNNNNNNNNNNNNNNNNNNNNNNNNNNNNNNNNNNNNNNNNNNNNNNNNNNNNNNNNNNNNNNNNNNNNNNNNNNNNNNNNNNNNNNNNNNNNNNNNNNNNNNNNNNNNNNNNNNNNNNNNNNNNNNNNNNNNNCUUAUUUGAACUCCUGACUUUUUGUGUGUUCAAAAUGCACCAUUCAAAGCCACAUCAUCAUUUUUCAAUCCUUUCUGACUUCAUUUGUUAUUUUUCAUCCAUUUACUAAUUAUUUUGAGCUAUAAGACCCUAAAAUUGAAAAGCAUUUCAAAUGAACUCUGAAAAGGUUGAAAGUUGGCAUGAUAUCAUCAUUUCAUCCACAUAGCAUGUGCAAGAAAGUUGAGAGGGUUAUGGCAUAAACGGGAUGCACUUCGUGUACAAAACGGACAAUCUCUUUCAAAGUAUCAGGAUUUCAUCCGGAAACUCGUCUGUUACAAAGGGAUUUUAUUUUUUAAAACUUAUUUGAACUCCUGACUUUUUGUGUGUUCAAAAUGCACCAUUCAAAGCCACAUCAUCAUUUUUCAAUCCUUUCUGACUUCAUUUGUUAUUUUUCAUGCAUUUACUAAUUAUUUUGAGCUACAAGACCCUAAAAUUGAAAAGCAUUUCAAAUGAACUCUGAAAAGGUUGAAAGUUUGGCAUGAUAUCAUCAUUUCAUCCACAUAGCAUGUGCAAGAAAGUUGAGAGGGUUACGGCAUAAACUGGAUGCACUUCGUGUACAAAACGGACAAUCUCUUCCAGACGCAUUUUAUUUUUAUUUAUUUUACUGCUGCUAUUUUUAUUUAUUUUACUGCUGCUAUUUUUACUUAAUUUAUUAAGGUUUAUUUAUUGUAGUUACUAUAGUUUAUUUUAUUUUAUUUUAUUAAGGUUUAUUUAGUUUUAUUUAUUUUAUUAAGGUUUAUUUAUUUUAUAAAUAUAAAAAAAUGAAAAUAGAUGCGCUUAUAGAGAAAAUUCAACCUAAAUUCAUAAUAAAUUUCUAUGAAAUUUACUAUGAAUUUAGGUCAAAUUCCUUGUAUAAGGGCAUCUAUUUUCACUUUAAAAGGCAGAGAGGGACGGGCUUAUAAACUGGUGUGAGCCCCCUUCGGUUGGCGAGGUGGGACUAAACACUGGCCGCGCCCUUUAGUCCCGGUUUGUGGUAUGAACCGGGACUAAAGGGUGGUGGGCCAAGAGCGUGGCCCAUUGGUCCCGGUUUGUACCACCAACCGGGACCAAAGGGUCCAUACGAACCGGGACCAAUGCCCACGAGGCCCCGGACGGCCCCCUGGGCUCACGAACCGGGUCCAAUGCUAACAUUAGUCCCGGUUCGUGACUGAACCGGGGCUAAUGUGAAAACUGCCCUGUGACCUUUGCCCCGUUUUCUACUAGUGUUCGCAUAGGUGAACUAGGACGUGCGUCAUGAUGUUGAAGAAGGAUGGUGGGAACACCAACUCAAAACUGACAAGACAUUGCACCAAAUCAUUCUCUAACCUUGGUAUGAUUUCUGGAUCGAUUACCUUCUGAGAGAUUGCAUUGAGGAAUGCACAUAGCUUCACAAUGGCUAAUCGAACGUUAUCUGGUAGAAGCCCCCUCAAUGCAACCGGAAGCAGAUGCGUCAUAAUCACGUGGCAAUCAUGAGACUUUAGGUUUUGGAACUUUUUCUCUGCCAUGUUUAUUAUUCCCUUUAUAUUCGACGAGAAGCCAGACGGUACCUUAAUACUGAGCAGGCAUUCAAAGAAGAUUUCCUUCUCUUCUUUGGUGAGAGCAUAGCUGGCAUGACCCUGAUGUAUGCCGUCUUUUCCAUGCAUACGUUGCUGGUCCUCCCGUGCCUCAGGUGUAUCUUUUGUCUUCCCAUACAUGCCCAAGAAGCCAAGCAGGGUCACGCAAAGAUUCUUCGUCACGUGCAUCACGUCGAUUGCAGAGCGGACCUCUAGAUCUUUCCAAUAGGGCAGGUCCCAAAAUAUAGAUUUCUUCUUCCACAUGGGUGCGCGUCCGUCAGCGUCAUUCGGAACAGGUUGUCCGCCAGGACCCUUUCCAAAGACUACCUUCAAAUCCUUGACCAUAUCAUGUACAUCAGCACCAAUACGGUGGCGAGGCUUCGUCCGGUGAUCCGCCUCACCUUUGAAAUGCUUGCCUUUCUUUCUUACGGGAUGCCUGCUCGGAAGAAAUCGACGAUGUCCCAGGUACACAUUCUUCCUACAAUUGUCCAAAUAUACUGUCGGUAUCAUCCAAACAGUGCGUGCAUGCGCGGUAUCCCUUGUUUGUCUGUCCUGAAAGGUUACUGAGAGCAGGCCAAUCAUUGAUGGUCACGAACAACAAGGCCUUUAGGUCAAAUUCUUCCCCCAUGUGCUCAUCCCACGCACGUACACUUGUUCCAUUCCACAGCUGUAAGAGUUCUUCAACUAAUGGCCUUAGGUACACAUCAAUGUCGUUGCCGGGUUGCUUAGGGCCUUGGAUGAGCACUGGCAUCAUAAUGAACUUCCGCUUCAUGCACAACCAAGGAGGAAGGUUAUACAAACAUAGAGUCACAGGCCAGGUGCUAUGGUUGCUGCUCUGCUCCCCAAAAGGAUUAAUCCCAUCUGCGCUUAGACCAAACCAUACGUUCCUUGUGUCAUCUGCAAACUCCUUCCCGUACUUUCUCUCAAUUUUUCUCCACUGCGACCCGUCAGCGGGUACUCUCAACUUUCCGUCUUUCUUACGGUCUUCUCUGUGCCAUCGCAUCGCCUUGGCAUGCUGUUUGUUUUGGAACAAACGUUUCAACCGUGGUAUUAUAGGAGCAUACCACAUCACCUUGGCAGGAAUCUUCUUCCUGGGGCGCUCGCCCUCGACAUCACCAGGGUCAUCGCGCCUGAUCUUAUAGCGCAAUGCAACGCAUACCGGGCAAGCGUUCAAAUCCGCGUACUCGCCGCGGUAGAGGAUGCAGUCAUUAGGGCAUGCAUGUAUCUUCUGCACCUCUAACCCUAGAGGGCAGACAGCCUUCUUUGCUUCGUACGUACUCUCGGGCAAUUCGUUGUCCUUUGGAAGCAUAUUCUUUAUCAUUACCAGCAACUUUUCAAAUCCCUUGUCAGAUACACCAUUCUCCGCCUUCCAUUGCAGCAAUUCCAGUGUGGUGCCCAACUUUUUCUUGUCAGCUUCGCAAUUCGGGUACAACAAUUUCUUGUGAUCCUCUAACAUGCGCUGCAACUUCUUCUUCUCCAAAUCACUUGCGCAGUUUCUCUUUGCAUCGGCAAUGGCCCGACCUAGAUCAUCAGCGGGCUCAUCUGAUGCCUCUUCUUCAGCUUCUUCCCGCAUUGCCAGCUCAGCUUCUUCCCCCAUUGUUGUAUCAUCGUAUUCAGGGAACCCAUGGCCAGGAUAGCUGUCGUCGUCCUCUUCUUCUUCAUUGUCUUCCAUCAUAACCCCUCUUUCUCCGUGCUUGGUCCAAACAUUAUAGUGGGGCAUGAAACCGGACUUAAACAGGUGGACGUGAAUGGUUCUUGACGUAGAGUAAUUGUGAUCAUUCUUACAGACUAAACAUGGACAAGGCAUAAAACCAUCCGCCCGCUUGUUUGCCUCAGCCGCAAGCAGAAAAGUUUGCACGCCAUUAAUGAACUCGGGAGAGCAUCGGUCAUCGUACAUCCAUUGUCAGCUCAUCUUCAUUACACAACACCGAAUAGACCAAAUUAAUACAAGUUCAUACAUAAAGUUCAUACAUAAAAUUCAUACAAGACUUAAAUGCAACAACCAAAAAAAACUCUCUAACUAAAGAAUUUAAAUGCAACAACAAAUGCGAUCAAGAUCGCAACUAAGGUAACAAUUGAUCCAACAGCAUAAUGAUACCAAGCCUCAUUAUCAAUGGCAUAUUUUCUAAUCUUUCUAAUCUUCAAGCGCAUUUUCUCCAUCUUGAUCUUGUGAUCAUCGACGACAUCGGCAACAUGCAACUCCAAUUCCAUCUUCUCCCCCUCAAUUAUUUUCAAUUUUUCUUUCAAAUACUCGUUUUCUCUUUCAACUAAAUUUAACCUCUCGACAAUAGGGUCAGUUGGAAUUUCCGGUUCACAAACCUCCUAGACAAAAAUAUCUAUGUCAACUUGAUGGGCAUAAUUUGUCAUAAACACAAAAUGCAACAACUAGUUUUAAAAGAGAAUAUACCACAUCCGAAUCAUAACAAGGACGAGGGCCGACGGGGACGGAUAUCAAAACCAUGGCACUAUGUAUAACAAACAACGUACGGGUAAGAUAAUUAUACGAGUAACUAUAUAUCCAAAUCACACAAACAUCAAUUUGGUAAUGUAAAACAUUCAUGAACAAGAGGCUCACCACAAGGUGGUGCCGGCGACGGAACGGUGCGGGCAAUCGACUGUGGUUACGACGGAGAUUUAGAAGGCACUAAGUAAACCACACCUACAUAUGCAAACUAAGUGUUAGUUUUGACCACAAAUUGCAUAUAAAUCAAAUACUAGCACAUAUAUUUUCUACCAAAUUACUAAACUCAUAAAUUAAUCACUAUACAAAGCAUUGCAAGAGCUAAUCUAGCAAUGAAAGAUGAAAGGACAAAUUUGCUAACCUUUGUGAUCAUUUGAAUGGAUGGGGGCCUUCAAAUCUUGGCAAAUUUUGGGCAAAAUGUGUGAUGAGCUCGAGAGGAAGAGGGGUAGAACAGAGAGGAGACGGGAAAGAGGAAGAACAGAGCAAGCUCGGGUGGACGAAGGGUUUAUGUAGGACGACCUUUAGCACCGGUUCGUGCCAUGAACCGGUACUAAAGGUGCUGGAGGGGCCCCGGACUGACAACAUCCUGCCACCACUCACUUUAGUACCGGUCCGUGGCACGAACCGGUGCUAAAGGUCGGCCACGAACCGGUACUAAUGAAAGCGGCUGGCUAGCCGUUGGAACCGGCACUAAUGCACACAUUAGUGCCGGCUCAAAAGCAAACCGGCACUAAUAUGCUUGACAUUUGACCCUUUUUCUACUAGUGCAGGUUCCGCCUCCGUCUCGGUUGUUGAGAGCCGCCUCCGAGUAGGCGCCCGCGGCACUGAGCCGCCGUACGGGGUCAUCCGAGGUCGACCAGAGCCGCCGCGCCUUCUCCGCAGCUUCGGCCCGCUGAGCCGCCUGGGCUGCUCCAACCAGCCUCCUUCAGCCGCCGCUUCUGCUGAGCCGACUUGUUGCCGCUGCUCUUACUGCUUCCGCCGAGGCCCUGCCCGCAAGCGUGCCCCUGUAACUGCAUGAUUGAGCCGCCCGAGCCAGUCCGGCUUUCGUCGCCACCUUGCUUCGUUUACCACUGUUCCGCUCGGGCUCCCCGCUACAGCGUUGCCCUAUGCACAUGCCGUCGCCUAGACCCCGGCACCUAUCACGCCGACUCAGAUACUGCUGCUUCCCGCAUGCCGGUUCACCGCUGCUGUCAGCUGCUGCUGUCCACGCGCGCCGGCUUACCGCCCGCACCUGGUGUUGGCGCCGCCUCGCGCAGCGCCUCUCUUCUUCUUCCACCUCAAACUGCCUCACACAGCUCUCUCUCUCUCUCUCUCUCUCUCACACACACACACACACACGCACAC